UUUUUUUUUUGUUGUAGAAUUAAUAACUAAAAUUUGAAGUGAAUAAAAGUCAGUAACAAAAGAGUUUCCUGUUGUGACUAUCCUAAUUAUACAAUAAAUCUAGAUAUGAUGAUUUAGGAUGCGUUCUAUACAAACCGGUAUCGAAAGGUACAAAUAAGCGCUAUUAAUUAAGUUUUUUUGUUACCAAAUUAAUUAAAUAAAACAAACUCUUCGGUUGAUCCUAGCUUUUUAUUAACUUAAUUAAAUAAGAUCUUAAUAAAAUAAAAAAGUAGCAUUAUGAAUAGUGUAAAACUCCCAAUGAUAUAAGCUCAAAAGCAUAAAAAUAUGUGAUUUUCAAUUUAUACCAGAGUUAAAUCCCAAAACCAAACCAAUAUGUUACUUGUUACUUCUUACUUAUUACAAGUUGAUUAAAAAAAUUACGGAUUUUAAUAGUUGAUUAACUAGAAUGAUGUAGUCCUAAAUUAUUGGAUUAGUCUAAAAAUAGUUAAAAGUGAAACAUUUAUGAAGUAAAAAAUUAAAACCACUAGAUAUAAUCACAAACUAAAAAUCAAAUCUUAAAUUAAUCACAUAAAAAGUAUGAGUCUUUGCAAGCAAGGGUUUUAGCUAGGCAUGACUAAAUACAAAUUUAUAACAAUAAAUAAGAAACUAGACGGUAAAUAUAAAUAAACUAAAUGUAUCGGUCCAGUCGUAAUCUUCAGAUAUUCAUAAACUGCCAAAAAAAACAUAUUAAACGCCAGAAAAAUGCUCUGGAACUCAUAUCCCUUGAUCAGGAAGCAAUGGGGAGUAUUUAUAGGCAAUAGACAAUGUUCUAGAAGAACUUUGCUUAACAACGUGUUAGACGCACCACGUCAGACUAAAACAUUGCAUUUUCUGAAUUAAUGAAGUGUUUUGCUAUUUUUUUUCGAGCAAAAACACGAUCGUGUAAAUGGACAAAAACGAUCAUGUUCACCUUUGAGGAUUUACCAAUAAAAUUUUAUCAUAUUGGGAAUAUUACUAAGGGAAGCGCAGCGCCUCAGAAGGAGUGUUAUAUGUUUUUCACAAAUUCUAGAUUUCAUUGUUCUUUUGGCCCGGUAAAUCUUCGACAUAAUUACACGAUAAAAAAUAUGAUCGUGUAACUCCUGAUGUGAACGUGUUUUGCCUUUGAAGCCCUUAAAUGAUGUCCAGAAUGGCAAUAGAAAGUUAUGAAUUGAGAAUAUGAUCAUGUAACGAAAACACGGUUGUUUAAAUAUGUAAAUAUUCGAUUCAAACAAGAAUUCUUCAGUUUCAGCUAAUUUUAUCUAGCUUCCAACUUCCAUGGGUGUUUUAACUCCAUUCAGCUCCAAAAUGCAUCCAAGUUGCUUCUAGAAUACUACUGCACUCGAAAUACCUGAAAAUGACACAAAAUUAUGAGUAGUACGUGAAUUCCGGUGAAAAACAUAAGCCAACCAUUAUUUACAAUAAUUUAUAUAUAAAAGCAUAAAAAUGGUACAAAAUUAUAGUAAAAACUAAUACAAAUGAUACAUAAAACAGUAUCUAAUAAAGUUUGAUGGAAGGGAUGGAACAAAGGCAAGAUUGUUAGGGUGCAAAACUCUCUAUGAGAUAUUGACUUAGAAGGCUUUCUCUUAUUUGAUAUGGGUUAUGGGUUGAGAUAGCCUAUAAACACUUGUAUAGUAUUCUUUGUAUAGGUGAGGAGAUCUCUCAUUGUAUAGAUGAGUAGUGUAGUGAGAGAGAGAGAGAGAGAGAGAGAGAGAGAGAGUAAUGUAGUAAGCAAGCACAUGCUUCUAGUUUUUGUACGACUCCAUUAUCUUUAAAACUUGUGCUUAAACAUUAGAUCGGGUCUUAUUGAUUAUGCAUUGAUUUUUAAUCCUGCAUUUGUCAUUUUCCAUGGGAUCAUGCAUGUGGUAUCAGAGAUUAAUCUUGAUGGUUUAACAACUUUUCCAAGAUCAACGAUCCUAGAUGACAACAUUUUCGCGUAAUCGACUAAAAGAAUGGAAAUGUUUGGUGUGUCUCUCCAUUGGAUCUAUUUGCUUUCAAUUCCAGAUUUGUUGAUCCAAUUAUCUUUUGAUUUAGGCCAAAAUUUGAUUUGUUUUUAUUCAAAAUCAAGCUUAAAAAUAUCAAUCUACAUUUUCUUUUGAUUUAGCAACCCGUUACUGUUCAUCUGGUCCAAAUUUGGGCCCAAACAUUGAGUUUGUUACUGUUCACAGAUUGGUUCAUUGAGUUUGUAGCCCAAUUCUAUGUGAUCAAAUUCGAUCUGAUACUAUUCAUCUCAAAUCCCAAUUUCUUUUAAUUUAGUCCACAUAAUUGAUUGAUUAUUGUUCAUUUGAUUCAGACUAGAGCCAACACUAUUCACAGAUUCUCAAAAUUAAUUUUCGUGUAUGUUUCUUGAUUUCGGUUCCUCGUAAAUUGACAAUCUAGAAAAUACAACUUGUGCUAAAAUGUUAGAUUAGGUCUUAUCGAUUAUGUAUUGAUUCUUAAUUUCGUAUUUAUCAUUUUCCAUGGGAUCCUACAAAGACGAGGGCAUGAAUUUUAGUUAAGAAUAAUCACGAAAUGGUGAGUAUAUAUGGAACUUUUAACAAGGGUACAUGUAAUACUUGCUAUAUUUUACGAAAAUGCUUCUACUAUGAAUCAACAUGCUAUACACGAUAGUUUUCUAUAAAUUGGUUAAUGAGUCGCGAUGUUCUUUAUAUUUUUCAUAAUGAUAAGAACUUAUAUGAUGCAUACCAUAACAUUUUGUGUGUGUGGAUCGAAUAUAUUUGGAAAUUGUAUUGUAGAAUGAGAAUGCAUCCAUAUGAGUGCACUUUUCAUUGGUUUGGAAGUAUUUCUUCACACCAAUCUCCUUAAGGGUAUGAUGACAUUAUAGUACCUAACUCGCUCUAAGAGUACGAAAUUGGGAUGACAUGGGUAUGAACUCCAUAAUAACUAAUUCAUAGUGAUACGGUGUUUUAAAUGGUAGGAAGUCAGCGUAUCUGAUAAGUGUAUAUGAAAAUAGGGUCCAAACUACCCAAAACUCUUGUACUUGGAAAUCAUGUGUUGCAUUAUAUGAUGUUGUGUUAUGCAUGAAAGUAUGUUUAUUAACUAAUUCUAUAUUAAAAUGAAUUCAGAUAAAUUAUAUUAAUAUUUAAAAUGACUAAAUACUUUUUUUUGUGAAACCCUAUAAACUCAAGAGAUGAAAGGCUUACAUAUUCUUCAACCUUUAAAUAUGACAGGUACUCAUGUGCAGAAGAUAUUGAUUCCUUUGGACACUAGCAUGGAUGUUUGGGACAUUGUGAAGGCAUAAUUUUUGUAACUUAUAAAUGGAAACUAUUGCCUCAUCAUUUUGAAAAUGAUAAAUUUUGUAAACCUUAUGAAUGCUUUCAUGUGAUUGUUUGUGGUAGUUUAUAAACCCACAAUUUAUGUUCUCACAAUUUGUGAAAAAAUUAUUUUAUGAAAUGUUUUAUAAAACGGAACAUAAAAAAAUAUAAUUUUGAACUGGUAAGAAAUUUGGGGGUUAUUAGCAAGCUUCGAUAAACAUACAAUAAACAUAUAGAUGCAAAGAAAAUAAAGAACACACAUAUAUAAUUUGGUUUAUACGAUUAGAGUGGGCGUCAAAUCACAUGACUAUAUAUAUAUAUAUAUAUAUAGAGAGAGAGAGAGAGAGAGAGAGUGUGUGUGUGUGUGUGUGUGUGUGUGAAAGAGAGAGAGAGAUUAUGAAUUAUAAAUAGUCAUGAACCUAAACUUGAUUGUGGGUUUACGCUUACAAGGCCUAAUAGGUCAUAAUCAACAUGUCUAUCCUAGGACUAUAAAACUUAAUCAAUAUUAGCCUCGACUGUAAACUUGUUGCAUAACUAAGUUAUGGCUACAUGCAACCUAGAACUUCUAAAUAACCCUAGCUCUAAUAGAAAAUUAUAAAGGUUUAAACUACAUAUCUUAUUGCUAUUAUCGCAGAUAACAAGGUACUUUGAAUAACUUUCUUGGAAUGUUAGCCCUAAUAAUGUAGAAGCCUCUAAUCAAUCACACUCAAACACUAGGAAAAUCCUCGUAUCAAAAUAAGAGGGGGGGGAGAGGAGAAUUUAUAUUGUCUUAUGAUUGUGUAGGUUUCUGAGUCUUAUGGAGGUCCCUAUUUAUAGUUACAUGAAACCAUAAUUUAAAUUCAAAAUAAUAAUAUUAUAUUUCAAUUCAAAUUCAGUUUUCUUAUCAACCAAGGAGGCUUCCAGAAGCCAUAGAAGGGCACCUCAAAACCAUCCCACCUAGGGAGGUUCUAGAAUAUUUCAUUGUACAACGUUUAAAGAAUUUCACUUUACCCUUAGACUCAUUAAUUAAUUCUGAUUAAUCCAAAACAAUUAAGUAACUUAACUCCGAUUAAUUCCUAAUUAAUUACCUCUAUUUCUAAUUAAUAUAUUAAUCUAAUUAUAUAUUAACAAAUUAUUAAUCUCUCUCUUAAUACUAAUCCAAGCCAUUUCUUGUUUGUGAAGGGAACGCAAAAAAGACUUUACUAUUAUUCACUCCAUACACCAAUUUAGUUAAGACCUUAGAUAUCCUGAUCCAACAAACAUUUGUCUCACUGAACUUCUUUAAUACUUUACGAUUAUAGUUCAAAGCUAUAUAGUACCAACAAUUUUGAUUUUGACUAUGCUUAUUAUCAUAAUCUAUCUGCCAAUUCCCAAGUCCUUCAUCUCAAACUCUAUAGAUAACAACUUCUUUAGUAUGAAGAUUUCCACAUGUUUGAUUUGGCUACUAUAUGUCCUCAACAUAUCAAACUAUUCCAUGCAGAAAUUAUAGUGAUCCAUAUUGCAUCUUAUGUACCUACUCAUAUUCAUAAAGCUUCCAAUCUUAAAGUACUACCACCUUGGAGCUUGUUGUAACGUAUAUAGAUGUUUCUGCGAAUUACAUGCAACUUACAUGCCAUAUGAUCUUUAUUAGUUGCUACAAAAACCAUAUGGUUUUUCCAAGUAGAUAUCUUUAUGAAAGUAUACAUGCAAAAAACAUUUCUUCAUAUGUAUCUAGUAGCUCUAUGCGUAAAUCUUCUGCAACCACAAUACCAAGUACCAAUAUAAUUGUAGUUACCUUCAAAAAUAAAGAGAAUAUCUCAGUAUAAUCAACUUUGGAUUUCAAUUUGAAAUCCAUAACCACCAAUUUUUCCUUUUAUCUCUUUUUUCCAUCAAUUUCUGUAACGCCCGCAGAUCCGGGCUAGUCAAUUUAGAGACAAUAAUCAUCAAAAAUGAUUUUUUUGAUGGAAGAUUAUUUAGAAUGAUUAAUCUUAACCAAGUUAUAGAAUAUGUCUCAAGGGUUAUGUACAUAUAAAGAACGCCAAAAUCCGAGUUAUAACGAAGAAGUUAUGAUCCGUCGAAGUUUUACGGCAAAACCGAUACGGCACCGGGAAUCGUAAAAAGUGAAUUUACGAUAGAGGACUUUUUAGCCUUAGAAAUCUAAAAAAAAAGUUGUAGUAUACGUUAAACGAUAACAUACAAAAAAAAGAACGCCCAAAUCUGACUUCGUAUGAGGAUGUUAUGAAUUUUCUAAGAUUUAGCAUAGCAGUGCACGACCCGAAACUCGAUUUUUAGAUCGAGUUGUUUUUGGCCUAUGCAACCUAAAUGAGAGUUGAAGAUCUCAUUAAUAGGAAUUCAACGGUAAAAAAACAGAUGAAAACGGAGUCCAUAUGUAGAAGUUAUGAAUUUUACGCGGACAUUUAACAGUAUAAUCUUCUUGUACUGUUAAAUUUAAGAUCGAGAAUUAGCCGACGGAGUCAAAGUGAAAGUUGUGGAUCUUAUUUUUAAAUAAAGUUGAAAAAGGAGCUCGUAUGCGAACGUUAUGAAUUUUAGAUAUCGGGAAGGAAAAUUGUGAAGCUGUCGCUAGAUUGAUGACGUGGCGCAAUCCCGGCCGUCCUUGUUGUCCACAGGCCUCGCUUCAGAUGGAGACACCUGGCCUCGCUUCGCAUCGCGUACAAGGAACGGCUAGCGUUCGGAAUCGCUUGGACUCGGAUGGACCACGUUGCACCUACUGGCCUCGAACACGUCUUUGUACGAACGUUGAGCGUAACCGAGGAACGCCUCGCGUAGAACCAAGGAGCGCAGCGCGUAGCCAGCAGCUCCCAGCCUAUAAAAGGGCUACGAGGCAAGACGAUUUCUCUCACCAUUUUAACCCCUCUUUCUCUCUCUACAUUCUCUCUCUAGCCCCUAAAACCCCCCUAAAGCCUAGCUAAAUGCCUUAUCACCCUAAGGAAGCCCCGAGGCUCCCAAAGCCCUCAGAAAAAGAGUCUUUCGACUCUGAAACGCUGCUCCAAGCGAAGCCUAGUUUUCUAUAAAAACUAGAUGUACGCUAUUUUUAAUAUAGCUUUUAUUUAAUUAUAGUAACAUUAUUAGGAACUUAUAAUAAGUAUUUGCGCUAUUAUUAUGAGUUAUAUAAGUGUCAUUAUAAUGUCUUUUUAACCACUCACGGUACGGGGAAUCUGGUUUUAAAGGGUCGCAUAGGUUUGUUGGAUUUCAAAAGUGCUAUAUGCCAAAAUGAUCAUGCCCUCCGGUGUUUUAUGCUUGGCCCCUGUCUGUACAUAAUGGUUGGAAAAUAUUCUUUAAAUGCUUAUAUAAUAAUAAUAAUAAUAAUAAUAAUAAUAAUAAUAAUAAUAAUAAUAAUAAUAAUAAUAAUACUAAGACUAAUAAUUAGUUGUAAUGAAUAUUAGACUAAAAUCUAGUGGUAAUGAUAUUGGGUUUCAUCGAAGGAAAAUAAAUUAAGAAGCGAAGCGCUGCUCGAAUAUCGAGUCAUCACUUUAACAAGUGAGUGCAUAGUUACUUUCAUCUUACACAUAGAUAUGAAGUAUUUACUUGCUAUCUAUGCUGGAUGAACGAUUUUAUACAAGUUUUAUAUGAUUUAAAUUGUAUACGUAUUUAUAUCAACAUAAUAUGUAGAGUAAAACAUGGGUAGGUGACAUAUGAGUUAGAUGAUAAGUUGAGAGGUAAUAUAGACCAUGAGGUAAGGGUGAGAGGUGGAUGAUGUGAGAAGCCUUUUUCCAAAUGUUGGCCUCGUCAUCUAGCAGAGUAUGGAUGACAACCGCAGACUAUUCUAGACAGUCCAACGGAACACUAGCAGGCUCACAACCUGUAGGUGUUAUGAACGAUGUGUUCACCGAUGUACUCUAAAACCCAAUUGACAUGUAUUGCAAGUGGACUCUCGAAAACGAUACUGUCAAUAAACGAGAUAACCUUGGCAGAUGCGCCUAAAGGACUCUACUGGUUGAAGUGCCUAAUAGAGAACCUCAUAACCCCGACAGAUGCACCUAAAGGACUAUAUCAGCAGAUGCGCCCCAUAAAGAAUCUCACAAUUCUGGCAGUUGCGCCUAAGUGAUAAUAUUAGCAGCUGUGCUUGAUAGAUGUGUCAUUAGCAAUGAUGGAUUUCGUGCCUCUUCCUUAGGAUGAUCCUUAGGAAUGAAUGAACAAGAAAUAGUUGAUUCUUAGGGUAGAUCCUUAAGAGUAAAUAAGAUAAUGGGGAUGGGUAAUUGAGUUAAUUGUUUGAUGAUUAAACAUAAUAAUUAUAUUAUUGUGGGUUGAAAACCCUAUGUACUCACCAGGUUGAAAACCCUAUGUACUCACCACUCAGUUUAUUUAUAUGACAGAUGUUGAUAUGAAGUCACAUUACACUGAGAGAUUAAAGAGAUAUAAAUCACUAGUGAUAAUGAAUGUAAGUUAUGUUUAUGCUUAUGUUUUUGUAUUGACGAUGACAUCCCAAAUGUUUUAAAAUGAAUAAAAAUACUUUUCUUUGGAAAUGAUUUGAUAACGUAUUUAUCAUGUUUUAUUGGGAACAAAUUCCGCAACAUUUUUAUUAAAAGUGGUCCUCUGAUUUUUAUAAAGCAUAAACAAAAUUGGUCUUUUCUGGCCGUGAAAAUGGGGAUAUCGCAGUUGGUAUCAGAGCAUUAGUUUAAGCAAACUAGGAAUAUGGAUUUAUUUCUAUACUUAAACUUAAAAUGCUAAGCGUUGAUCGUGAGGAGUGUGUCUAAUAAAAUUUAGGUAAUACAUUUAAAUAGACACAAGCACUAACUAAUUUAGGGAAAAUGCCUAACAUGCUUUUAUGUGCUAAAUGAUUUAUGAUGCUUUAUGUUGCUAAAUGUAUGAUAGGAUCUAUGGUCUGUUGCCGACUGGAUUUGGAAACUUUAUGUGCUCAAAUUUCUAAAUAUUUAAAUAUAGUAUUACAACUGACUUGUAACUUUUCGGGGUAAUAAGGAGGAAUACGCGUCUAAAUCUUCCUCUAUCAAUAUUCUCGUUUCGAUACACCGAACGCCUGCUUUGGUGUAUCAAAUGACAUGAUAAGGACUCAUAGCAGACUGAUAAAAUGGAGGAAAUGAUAAGGCUUACGAUAGUGAAUGAUACCUAUCGGAAGAUAUUUUAAGAGUGAUAUCUUGUCUUUAGAAUGCAUCUAAUAAAUAUACAUCUAGUACCGAAGAAGUACACUUUCGAUUAGCAAAAAGAAAUAUUUUUGGUAUAAUCCAUGAAUUUAUCCUAUCAUCUGACAUUUCCAUCACCAUCCGAGUUGAAGCAUAAUUGAUGAUUGAAGAUACGCAUGGAAGAACUCCUAGUAGAGUCUAGAGAAAAUUAUAUGAUUGUUUGGACACAUUUGUAUGUGUUAAAAUUAUUUUUGUGAUAAUAACUUGGAGAACUGCGAGACAAUACUUGGGACGAGUAUGAGUAGGUGUGAAAGGUAGUAGAGGCAUAUACUACCAGAAGCACAUGACUCACAUAUGAAUCGGGGAAAGUCACAAGUUUACCAAGAAGCUAGUAGUUGAUUCCAUUUUGUUCAUGUAUGUCAUUACCAUUGUUUCCGUAAUGACUACAAAGAUGAUUGUUAUUCCGACCCUAGUGGUCAUAUCAAAUUGUCACACCCCCAAACUGAAACAGCGGAAAUGUUUGAGGGUGGAGGACGUUAUGUAUAGUAUCACAAUAAUUUCAUCAUAGUAAUCAAAGUAAACACAACCAUUACAUUAAGAUAUGAAUAUUUACAUCUGUUUGAUACAUAGUUUGUAUACAUCAAAAGUAUGACAAAAUAAGUAAAAGACGUAUCUCUAUAUGCUCCGUCUUCUCAAAAUGCUGCAGGAGUACUUGAUUACUGGUUUCCUGAGAAUACAAACGAUUUUUUUUGAAAUAGAGUAUCAACAUAAAAGCUGGUGAGUUUAUAAGCAUGUUUUUGUAAUGAAACCUGUCAUUGAAUCUGUAAAAUGUUUGUAUGCUUCUCAAGAAAAUCCAAUAUUUUCUAACAUACAUGAUUAUUACAUUGUUCUGAAGUAGUGUGUAAUGUAUUAGUUUGCAUGUAUGGUUACCACCAGCUGUAUUGUAUGAUGUUGUUUUGAAUGAAAACCCUUUGUAUGAAAACCCUGGCUAUCAUUGGUAAUGUAUAGAAUCUUUUGUUUGAAAACCCUAGUUACAACCAGUAUGUAUAGUAGUUUCAUUACUUAAAAUAAAACUAUGAUUUGAAAUCCAUGGAAUCCUCCAGUUGUAUUAUGAACUAGUUUUAUUAAUGAAAAUAAAAUGUAAGUCCCCAAAAUGCUUGUGUAUCAAUCAGAUCCGUUUGAUGGUGCGGAAUCCCAAUCAAACGAAUGAUGUCAUAUCAAAUAGAAGAGAAGGAGAAGAAGAAUAAUAAUAUGAAUCUCAAUGUAUUGAUGAAUAGAAUGAUGAUCCUUUACAUGAGAUUCACACGCACCAACACACACUUGUUCUUCUCUCUAGUUUCUCUCUCUAGAACACCUUAGAAUACACACACAUAAGCUCCUCUAGAUCGUCACUCAUCAAUCCACUCCUCACCCGUUACACCUAUAUUUAUAGGGAACAUGGGCCGUGAAUAGGUUUACGGCCGUAAACCUGUUCACGGUCGUAAACACAACCGUAAACACGUAUACGGCCGUAAACAUCAAGCUGUUUACGGUCCAAGACACAAAAAUACAUUUUCCUAGAAAAGUAAAGUAUAAAACAUAUUUUUGACCCAAAAAUCUCCCCCUUGGUUUAUAACUUUCUUUUCUAAAUGACCCAACAAGCUCCCCCUAAAAAAGUAGCUAGCUUUUCUUGUUAAUCUUCAUUAGAAGCUUGGCUUCAACAUUUAUCUUCAAUGAAUGACUUCAUCUUGAGAACUUGGGCAAUUCUUCAAGAUUUGGCAUUGAACGCACAUUGGGUGAGGAAGCUUGACGUACUGAUUCUUGAAAGAUAGCGCUUUCAACUUGAAAAUCUUCAGAGAGAACAUCAGAGAGAACAAAUCUUAUGGAUCACUUUAGCAGGUUCAUAGAUAGCAGCAGACUGAUUGAGGAGGCUUCAAUGCAAUCCGUCACAUAAUAUUCAAUUUCAGCUUCACCUUGCUUCUGGGGUUGAAAGAUUGAAUGUCGAAAGAAUAGUUUUCAUUUCUUGCUUCUUCAAAUGAGAAUCCUUCGAUGAUCACGGAGGAAGCCUUGGCUCAUAAAUCUUCGACACAAACUCAAUGAGUUUCAUCUUCACCUGAAUUCACUUGUCAGGACAAAACAAAACUAAAAGAAAACUUAGCACCCAAAUUAAAACAGAAAGAAAAAUAUUUUUGGAUUUUUAAUUUUCUUAUUUUUGUUUGAUUUUUUUUUUAAAUUCUCCCCCUAAAUUUGUGCAUAGAGGAAAACUAUGAACAAAUUUAACAAAAAGAAAAAAAUUUGGGAUGAAAGUUGUGAGACAGCCUGAACUUUUUUAUCGGUACCUUCACCUUCAUGAAUAGAUCUGGUCAAUUGCCGGUAUUGUGGUCCACUUAAACACGAAGAAUAUUAACAAACUUCUCUAAAUAAACCAUUUAGCUGACGACGACCACAGGUAUUGUUGUCCACUUAAAUUAAGCAACGAGAUCCACAGACAACCUCUUAAAUGGUUCAAUUUUAGUUGCACUAGAACGUGUUCCCCACUUCUCGAUAUACCUUUGUUAUCAAGAACUUCCUAAGGACUCCUUACUUUAGGUGAGUAAACAAUUAUUAAGGAGGAAGUCAGAUUUAGAGAUAGAUGCAUAUGUUGUGUCCCAGAUCGGAUCUCUUUCAAUCACGCAGAGGGUACAACAUAUGAAUAACAGAGAUAGAGGGAUUGAUAGGUAGAAUGUUGCAUAUGUUGUGUCCCAGGUCGGAUUUCCGAUCACGCAGAGGGGACAACAUAUGGAUAACAUAUAGAAAGAAUUUCACAGAUAGGAGGUGCGUAGAAAUAGAGUUACAUAUGUUGCAUUCCAGGUCGGAUCUUCCUAUCACGUAGAGGAAGCAACAUAUGACUGACAAAUAGAAAGAAAGAAAAUAAUUUCCUACAGACCUACUUUAUCAGAACCCCCCCCCCCCCCCCCCCGCCCCNAUCAAAAUCAGAAUUAAGGACAUAAGUUCGUACAUCAAGGAAAAUCCGAACCACUGUUCUAGAUGCGUAUUAAUUUAGUGUAUCCUAUGGGUUCCCGUGUUUAUCUCAGUGCUCAAUCUACUCGAGCGUCGUAUGGUCAGUCCAUACAAUCCUAUCUAAAUCCACACUGUCAAAUUCUUCAUUCCUACCAGCACAUUGAUCACAAAGUCUAGACAAUUCAGAUUCAGUCCUUUACACAUGUUUUAGACUGCCCGUUAUCACUUUCUUGAUAUCACUUUCCAAACAAUACUUACAAACAAAAAAAACUAUAAAAGAUUGUCUUUGAAAUGAAUCAUAUUAAGAUAAACUCAGGAGUAUAGAGAAGAACACGCAAACUGUAAUUCACCGAUUCAAUUCGCAUCCAGAAGGUCUGAGAACAGCACGCAUAAUCUCAGAACAGAUCCAAAAACUCUUCAUGUCACUAAGCACUAACCCCAUGAGUGAUCCCUUCCUUUAUUCCUUUCCUGCAAAGGACACAUACUCUCACUUAAAGUUCUGAGUGUUGUACAGUUGAGAGAUGUCCCUUAUCAUGUGCCUGGAACAACCACUACUAACAAACCGAAGUCUGAUGAUAUGCAUCCAUAGUUGCUCCAGCAUAAAGCGAGAUUAGUUGGUCUUUGGAACCCAGUCCAUUUUGAAACUGAGUCGACCUUUAUCAUCAUUGAAUGGUACUCUAUCCCAUGACAUAUCCUGUUUAUCACAAACAAAAGAUGAAGAAAUAUUAGAAUCGUUAGAAGAUUUGGGAGAGUGAGCCUUUGGAACCCAUUUGUAGUUGGGUUUAACCCAUUUCUUUUUCGAUCUGAUGGGUGGCUCAGUACUUGCUUUUGAACUUGAUGUCGGCCAUUGAGAUGACUUUGACCUAACUGGUCUUUGUUUCACUGGAGCAUCUCUUGGAUUGGGCUUAUUGGCCAACAAUCCCUUCUUGCCCUUAGGAUUCGGAUUCUUGGCCUUGUAGGUUUGAUUCUUGGCCUUCUACGCGGUCCAGUCAACAUUGUCUGAACGUGACCUUGAGGGGUUUCUUUUGGAGUAUCUCCCUCAUGGCGCGUUCUGCCACCCUUGUGCAUAGUAGGGAACAUAUGCGUGAUUAGGACAAUUUCUGGCAAUGUGUCCAGGUGUUCCACAGUGAAAACAAGUCUUUUUCUUCACUAUGAAGUUGUUUCUUCCUACUCCUGGUGGCGUAUCCUUGCCUUGUCUCUUAUUGUUCCCACAAGCACAAUUACAACAGGCACUCUGUUUCACUGGAAUUGGUGGCCUGUAUUUCUCAACAGAAGGUUGAUCAGAAGCAGCUGAGUUCGAAGCAACAGAUUCAGAGCUCAAGGAGAUGUUGGUUUGUUCAAUGGUUUUCUCCUUGUUCUCAUACUCUGCUACUUUACCUGCACAUAAAGUAGAAACAUUAGAAUCUUCAACCUAAAUACUUCCUAACACAAAUCCAGAUGGUUUUCCAUAAUAAAGAUGUGCCUCCUUGUCAAUUUCUUCAUGUGUCAUAGGGAUGGAUGUAUAGUAAUGAUUGAAAGGAGGAGGAACACAAUCAUACCCUAGACCCUUGUUUUGAUUAUCUUUAAAUUUUAAUUGGGUUUCAAAUAUUAACUCGAUUGUCUUACUUGGCAGAAUAUAAUUUUUGAAACUAACAUCUGUUUUUCCACACUUAAUUUUCAAAGUGUCAAGUUCUUUAGUUACAGCAGCAAGUUGUCUCUUAAUAUAGUCAUAAUUUUCACAUUUUUUGCUAUACUCUUCCUGAAGCUUCCUAAAGUAUUUGGUUUUUGCUUCUAAUUCAGCCUUCAUGGGUUUCUGUCCUUUCCUAAAUUGAUAUCCUUCUUAUUUUAGGUCCUCGACUUCCCUUUUUAGCAAAUCAUUAUGUUCACGAAGAAUUUUAAUCGUAUCUUCACAUGAUUGUGAGCAUGAAACUUCAUUGACCGGGAUGUUUGCAGAACUCAUUGUUUUUCCACACUUCAAAGCAUCAAGUUCUUCAAUUACAGCAGCAAGACUAAGACGAUUGAGAUCUUUUGUCUUCUUGAUGACAUCCACGUUCAUAUCCCACAAUUUCGGAAGUGAAUUCAGUAGCUUUUUGUUUAUCUCAAAUUUGGUCAAGAAGAUCCCAACUAUAUUCAUCUCAGUAGUAAGUGUAGUAAAUCGCUGCAACUGAGUUUUCAGGGUUUCUCCUGGGAUAUAAUGGAACAUGUUGAAAUUUUGUCUUAACAUAUCCUGACUCUCUUUCAUGUCUUCAAUUCCCUCGUAGACGUGUUCCUUAGUAGUUCCAGCUGGUAAGGUGCAUGUUUGAAGUGUUAGAGGUCUUGAGCUCGAAUCCUAGCAAUCGCAAAAACUCUAAUUUUUUUUAAGUAUAGGCCACACUCUAUGGGCUGAGGUGUUAUUGGGCCGUAAAAUGUUUCUGGCAGUAAACUCCGGGCCGUAAACUCGGACCGUAAACUGUUUCCAGCCGUAAACUCCGGCCAUAAACUGUUUCCGGCCGUAAACUCCGGGCCGUAAACUCGGACCGUAAACUGUUUCCGUCCGUAAACUCCGGGCCGUAAACUCGGACCGUAAACUCGGACCGUAAACUGUUUCCGGCCAUAAACUCAUCAAAUGCGAAAAAAACGAUGUUUUUCACACUUUUUGCUCCAAAACUCGAUCCAUAACUCAUUUUUAUCAAAAACGCAAAGAAUAAACCCCCCAAAUUUGCCAAGAUCUAUCCAAAAAUGCAAAAAUCCUUUCAAAAUAAGAUCAAAUAAGCUCCAGAUCUGACAAAAUUGACUAAUACAAUCCAAGCUCUGAUACCACUUGUAAGUCCCCAUAAUGCUUGUGUAUCAAUCAGAUCCGUUUGAUGGUGCGGAAUCCUAGUCAAACGAAUGAUGUCAGAUCAAAUACAAGAGAAGUAGAAAAAGAAUAAUAUGAAUCUCAAUGUAUUGAUGAAUAGAAUGAUGAUCCUUUACAUGAGAUUCACACACACUUGUUAUUAUCUCUAGUUUCUCUCUCUAGAACACCUUAGAAUACACACACAUAAGCUCCGCUAGACCGUCACUCAUCAAUCCACUCCUCACCCCUUACACCUAUAUUUAUAGGGAACAUGGGCCGUGAAUGGGUUUACGACCGUAAACCUGUUCACGGCCGUAAACACCAAGUUGUUUACGGUCCAAGACACAAAAAUACAUUUCCCUAAAAAAGUAAAGUAUAAACCAUAUUUUUGACCCAAUAUAAAACUAAUUAAGAAAGAAAUCCCAUAAAGGUUAGUUUAUACUAUUGUGAGUUCGUAUAACCAUGCUUGAUAUGACCUAGUGACCUCUACCAUAUUCUUCAGGCAUCAGACGUUAUGACAUUUGUCACCUCAGGCAUGCCUGCCUAACUGUAGCUAGCAGUUCAGGUGUGGGAUAGUCAAUGCUGAAUAGAUCUAUUCACAAAUAUCACGCUCUCCCUCCAGGAGACUCUGGUUAUACUAUGAUAGGAUUUAACCUGUACCCCAAAGGUACAAUUGAAGAGUUGUCUCACAAUCCUAUAUUAACUAGCUUAUGUGUAGUAUUAUAUUCUACUGUACUUGAAUCUGAAUGUAAGCCUUGUAGAGUAAAAAGAAUUAUACUUAGAUAAUUAUUUAAGUGAUGUACUCUUGCUAUCCUGAAGAUAGUAUAGUAUAUCAUAAACUAAGUAUGUCAUAGUUUGUAUGUUUGUUAAUGUAUACGCUCUGAAUUUGUAACACUGUGCAUUGAACUUCCAAACUAUACCUAUUAUAGUUUGCAUGUAUGUUAUCUACUUGGUUCGUGUAUUUAUCUAAAAACUAUGCAAUUAUGGUUGUAUGUUGAAAACUUCCCUUGUGCUCAGUAUGUUACAAAAGGGAUAAAAUAUCUAAAUAUUUUAUAAAUUGUAGAAAUCGUUUGACUGUAUCAAUUGCACAAGUUUUAAACUUGUUUAAAUCCUUUUGUUUUGAUUCACAAAAUCAUUUCUGUUUGGCUUGUAUUCUCCCCCCCCCCCCCCUUCANGAAAACGUUAAAAUUUCAUAAAAGCGUAGGGGUAUGAACUCACUGUUAGUUGUGUGCAAGCGUCAAAUCAACGAACUGGAAAUGAAGACCCUCUAGUUGUUGUAUGUGGCACUUAACGGAAUCCUAAUAAAAAUUAAAUACAUAUAUGUAUCUAAAUUAGCGAUUGAUAGAUAAAGUGUUAGAAAAACACUUGCUUUCAGUUAAGGAAUGUUACCGGGAAUUGAUGGAAUCGGGGAAGAUGGGUUUUCAGUCUAAGUCACCACUUAGGGAGGGUUUGCGGCCAUGAAGGGGGUUUACGUCCGUGAACUGCCUCUUGAAGGGUUUACGGUCGUGAACCGGUGUACGUCCUUUGAAGAUUCGAAGGUUUGAAGGGUGUAUGGCCGUAAAAUCGAGAACAAUGAUGUUGGAUUCGAUGAAAAUGCGUUUUAGAUGCUCUAAAACAACCUCUAAAGGUGUUUCUUGAUGAUUUUCGGAAGAAAAGAUGUGUUUUUGGUGUUUACGGUUGAGAGAUUAGAGAGAGAAUGAGGGUGUUUCUGGCCAGAAAGCUGUAAAUGAGGGGUAGGGGCUCAUAUUUAUAGGGGAUUUCAUGGUCGGUGGUGGGGGCCACCUGUCGCUGGCCGUAAACAGGUGUACGGCCGUAAACGAGUUUACGGCCGUAGACAUCACUUAGUCGAAAACUAUUGAUUUUUCAAAGGAAACUCAGGUUUUUCACGUGGUUUUGGUUCCGACUCAUAAAUAUAAAAUUCAAUUAUACAAAUAAAUGAUUUUCCAAACCAAAGGAAUUUGACGGAACUCAAUGAAAUUCAAAUUUUAUUAAUAGAAAUUGGCUAAUGGCAACGGAAAAAGGUUCAGUGUGUCACACAAAUUGAGUCCAACUACGAUGAGUAUGUUACGUGGUUUAGAAAACCAAUUCGAUGUAGCAUCUAACUUAAGCCGGAAGAUUGAAAUAAAAUAUAAUCAAAGCGAUCAGUAGAGGUAUCGCGAUAGUUGCUUGUAGCUAGAAAAUGCUACCUUUUAAGAUGUGUUUAUAUCACAUUGGAACAUGAAGGAAGGUAUAAUAUGUUUUGGAAGACUCUAAGAGACCUGAGUCUAAGCAUUGCAACAUACGAUGAUAGGUCAUUAGAAUAUGACACAUCGUUCCAUUGUAGUAAUAAAAGAACUUAUCUUAAGUUCGUAUCCAGUGAGGAUUGAGAUUGUGAAUUAAAGGUCAUAAUUUGGAGUCUAACAUGAGAUAGGGAGCAAGUGCAAGAUCGAACACCGCCUGCAGUCAAGGAGCCCAAGAGUUAAAUAGUUAUUCAAAGGAACAAAGAAGUUACGAUUAUUACCUAGGAUGAAGAGAUAACUUAUGGAGUCAUUAUACUGCCCUGUUUCGUUGAUGAUUCUGGGACGUAAUAAUCCUAAGGGGGAGAUAAUUGUAACACCUGCAGAUCCGGGCUAGUCAAUUUAGAGACAAUAAGGAUCAAAAAGGAGUUUUUGAUGCAAGAUUACUUAGAAGGAUUAAUCUUAACCAAGUUGUAUAAUAUAUCUCAAGGGUUCUACACAUAUAAAGAAUGCCGAAAUCCGAGUUACAACGAAUAAGUUAUGACCCGUCGAAGUUUUACGGCAAAACCAACACGGCACAGGGAAUCGUAAAAAGUGAAUUUACGAUAUAGGACUUUUUAGCCUUAGAAAUCUAAACAAAAGUUGUAGUAUACAUUAAACCGAGAACAUACAAAAAAACGCCCAAAUCUGACUUCGCAUGAGGAGGUUAUUAAUUUUCUAAGAUUUGGCAUAUAAGUGCACGGCCCGAAACUCGAAUUUUAGAUCAAGCGGUUUUUGGCCUACGCGACCUAAAUGAGAGUUGAAGAUCUAAUUAAUAGGAACUCAAUGGUAAAAAGAUAGACGAAAACGGAGUCCGUAUGUAGAAGUUAUGAAUUUUAUGCGGACAUUUAACAGUAUAAUCUCCUUAUACUGUUAAAUUUAAUAUUGGUCGAGAAUUAGCCGACAGAGUCAAAAUGAAAGUUGUAGUUCUUAUUUUUUUUCCUAUGCGUGGAUACAAAGAAUGUCAAAAAUGGAGCUCGUAUGCGAAAGUUAUGAAUUUUAGAAAUCGGGAAGGAAAAUUGCGAUGUUGUCGCUCGAUUGAUGAUGUGGCGCAAUCCCAGCUGUCCCUUGCUAUCCACAGGCCUCGCUUCGGAUGGAGACACCUGCCCUCACUACGCAUUGCGUACAAGGAGCACCUCACGUUCGGAAUCGCUUGGACUCAGAUGGACCAAGUCGCACCUACAGGCCUCAGACACGUCUUCGUACGAACCUUGAGCAUAACCGAGGAACACCCUGCGUCCGAGGAACGCCUCGUUUAGAACCAAGGAGCGCAACGCGUAGCCAGCAGCCUCCGGCCUAUAAAAGGGCUGUGAGACUAGCCGAUGUCUCACACAUUUUCAACCCCUCUUUCUCUCUCUACAUUCUCUCUCUAGCCCAUACCCCCCUCCCAAAGCCUAGGUAAACCCCCUAGCACCCGAAGGAAGUGUUGGAUAAGGUGUCUAAGUCCAUAACUAUUUCUGGUAAGUACUUGACCCGACCCGGCAUGGUCCAUUUGGUUUGCAUGGCACCAUGCAAUUGGAUAGACUAAAUGAGAGAAAUAACUCUUGGAGAUUAUUAAUAUAUUAUAAGUUCUAAUAUAUUAAUAAUAUUAUUUGAUUAGUUUGAUCAAGAAUUAACUUAGAAUUAAUUAAGCGAUCAAAAGAUAACUAAUUAAAUAUAUGGGUUGAUUAUGUAAAUCAUCCAUAUCUUGUAUAGUGGACUAAGAGGCUCCAUGGAUUAUCAAGUUGGGUUCCACCCAUAGGAUGCUCCAUGGGAGUUACAAACCCCAUGGGUCAUGGAAAUGAAGAGUCAUGACACAUUAGGGUUUACAUGGUGUAACCCUAGAUGUGUCAACACUAUAUAAGAGUCCCAUUCUCCACCAAAAUCGGCUACACAUAUGAAACAAGAGGACUAGGCCGAUUUUAAGAAGUGUGUGUUCUCUCAAAAGUCUUUCCAAGAGCAUUUGGUGUUGUGUGAAGCAUUUGAGGCAUCACACUUGGGGUGCUAGGCUCACAAGGUUUCAAGGAACAUAAGCAACAACAAGGUAAGUUAUUCUAUCUUUCAUUCAAGUUAAAAAUUGUUCCCCAUGUAUGCUAGAUAGGAAUAUAACCUUGGAAUUCAACUUUGCAUGAUAAUUAGACAAACAUAGAUCCAAGGUUAUUAGGGUUGCAUGUACACUUAGGAAGUGUUAGAAUGCUCAAAACCCAUCAGUGGUAUCAGAGCCUAGGCUUGUUUGUUUGUUAUUUGUGCUUAAAAGUUGAAGAAAGUCGAAAAUCUUGCUGUCUGACUGAUGGACUCGGCGAGUCCAUGGGGAGGACUCGUCGAGUUCAUGUGUAUCUUCAACCUACUCGGCGAGUAGGUUUAUGCACUCGGCGAGUAGGGUCGACAGAGUGCAGAAUUUCGACUUGAGUUGCUGGAAAUGGAUUAGAAUCAUUACCCUAAAAUGUUUUGGUACUUGAAAACUUAUUUUAGAAGGUGUAAUGUCUUUUCUAACUCAUUUACAACAACUAGUUAUCAAAAUUACAAAGAUUAAAUGUGAUUUUGAUUCUUGAAAGUGUUCAUAUUCAUAUUCUUGUUCUUAUGAUGUUUAGAUGAUCAUAGGAAUUAUUUGUAACCUAUGUGGUAGAUUAAUUCAUGAUCAUAAUGUGUUUUAAUGGAGUCCAUAACUUGUCCUCAAGUUAUGGAAAACCAAAAGUCUCUUGGAUUAAAAACCAUUAAAAGAACACAAGAGUUAGGAAAAAUGAAAAGUCCUCAUUUUAUUACUCUAUUAAACUCAUAAGUUACAAGAAAUGAAAAGUUUUGAAAGUUUACAAAACUUGCCCUCAAGUUUUGGAACAAGUAAAGUUAAGUUAAAACUUUAGUUCCAACCCCUAGAAUUUUAAAAGUUAAAAUUCAACCCUUAUACUUAUAUUAUUAUGAUUUAAUAAUUAUAUAUAUAUGUAUAAGAACAAAGUCGUCUUACCGCUAGUACGCCUCAUUCACGAAGCCGGUCUAUAAGGUGGGUAUAAGGUUGUUGCCUAUAAAAUGGUGACUUAAUGGGUGUCCACUCUCACCCACCGCUUGCUUGAUCGGUGGAGGGUCGUUAGCCGAACGGGUAAGACAAGGACUUAUUAAUUCUCAUUCAAAGUAUGAUGAAUAUUAUAAAGUAACUAAAUGUUUUAUUAAAUUCCCAAUCUUAGUUACUUUAGGAAAAAUGUGAAUAAGGUGCUAUUCCAUGAAAUUACACUUUACACUUUGAUUAAGUCGUUGGUGGAGCGUGUGUGGUUAACCGGCACACUAACUUGGACUUAACAAGGUAGGUAAAGGGUGACUUAGGGUUUAUUAUAGUAUCGAUGGAGCGUGUGUGGUUAACCGGCACAUCGAUUGAGUGAUAAACUUUAAGGGUACCAAGUGAUUUGCAUGGUUACUUCACACCUCGUUUUGUGAUCCUCGGUAUCCCAGUCACAAAACUUGGAGGGCACACUCGAGAUUGAAACAUGCCUUUGAAAAGUUCAUUGAAUCUCAAAGAAUCUAGGAAUUUCUAAGAACCAUUCAAAAACCUAAUACUAAAAUAUUGCGGUUUUCGUGGUGGAAAUUGGUGAAUCGUCAUUCACCUACCUUUCAAAUAUGAUAUAGCUUAGAUUACGGCAUACCUCUUCUAAGUUAUAUUAUAUUGUGAUUGGAUCCUAGCCUUAAUAUUACAUUUGGGUGUUUUAUUAAGGACUCUCUUAUAUCUAAACUAAUCUUGUCCUCUUUCCUUCAGAUGUCUUUCAACAAUGCUUCUGGCUCUAAUCCUAAUGGCUCCUUUACCCUUAUGAACUUGUGUGGGAAAGUCACCUUUGAUGGAUCCAACUUCAAUGAGUGGAUCAGAAACAUCAGGAUGAUUACCCGCUACGAGGACAAAGAAUAUGUCCUUGACAAGGAGCUUAAGGAGAUUGAUGAGACCACUGCAACUCCCCAGGAGAUCGCUGACUUUCAGGCACAUGAAAGGGAUGCUACCAAAGUGGCAUGCAUCAUGUUGGCCACCAUGACAGCAGAACUCCAAAAGUCCUAUGAGGACUUCUACCCUUUUGAAAUGCACCAAGAUCUGAUGGAAAGAUACCAUCAAAGUGCACGACAAGGGAGGUAUGAAAUCAGUUGUUCCAUGAUAGCAACCAUGAUGAAGGACGGGGAAUCCGUCAUGAGCCACAUGCAGAAAAUGCAAAGGUAUGUGGAUUGGUUGUUGAAGCUUAAUGUGAACUUCCCUGAGGAGCUUGCAAUAGAUAUCAUUUUGCACUCCUUACCAUGAUGCUAUGAUCAAUUCCGCAUGACAUAUCACAUGAAUAAGGAAGAAGUCACACUCAGCAAACUUCAGGGACUUCUCAAGACCGCAGAAUCAGGUCUUAAGGGGAAGUCGGUUGCUAUCACUCCUACUCAAAACUCUACUCCGGUUUUGGCAAUCGGGAAAAGUCGAGGGAAGAAGAGAAAGAGCUCUUCUAAGGGUACCAAGGCUCGGACCCUUGAUGGCUCUUCUUCAAGUGGAACCAAGAAAGGUUUCGUCACUCCUUCUUCUGACCCAAAAGAGGCUGAAUGCUUCUAUUGCCAUGAAAAAUCACAUUGGAAGCGGAACUGCCCAAAAUACCAGCAAGAUGUGAAGGAUGGGAAAGUUAAACCCAACCAUGCAGGUAUUUACACUAUCAUUUCUAAUAACUCACCCCAUUCUAAAUCUUGGGUCCUUGAUACCGGUUGUGGUAUUCAUAUUUGUUGUGACUUGCAGGGACUAGGAAGAAGUGAGAAUGUGGAGCAAGGAAGAAUAAACUUAAUCAUGGGGAAUAGGAAAGUUUCACCUGUCACCAAGAUUGGAGUUUAUACUUUAUCGCUAAGUAGUGGGUUUAGUUUAGAUUUGAAUAAGUGUUGUUAUUCGCCAGAAAUGGCAAGAAAUAUUAUUUCCUUUCAUGCAUUGUAUAAACAAGGUUUCACCUUUUCAUUUGAUAAUGAAGUUGGUUCAAUUAAUGCUUUCUUUAAUAAUGUUCUUUAUUUUAAAGCAUUACCUUGUGAUGGCGUGUAUGAAACAGUAUCUGUGGUUGAUAACUUAGGAAAUAAUGUAUUGUGUAUUGAUUCUGUUAAUAAUAAUAACUUGGAUAAAGCAUCAUUAUGGCAUUGUCGUCUUGGACAUAUAAGCAAGAAACGCAUAGGCCAACUCCAAAAGGAUGGAGUCUUGGAGUCAUUUGACCUAAAGUCUGAUGAUAGUUGCGAAUCAUGCUUACUUGGAAAAAUGACAAAGUCACCCUUCACAGGUUCUUGUGAGAGGGGUGAAGGUUUGUUGGACCUUGUACACACGGAUGUGUGUGGACCAUUCAAACAUGCCACAAGGGAUGCUAAUCGUUAUUAUUUGACUUUUACUGAUGAUUACAGUAGAUAUGGAUAUGUCUACUUAAUCAAGCAUAAGUCAGAGACUUUCGAAAAGUUUAAGGAAUUUAAACAGGAAGUCGAGAAUCAAUUGGGCAGGAACAUUAAGAUGCUUCGAUCCGAUCGAGGUGGUGAGUAUCUUAGUUCAGAGUUCCUCAACUAUCUUAUAGAAUGUGGGAUUGUCUCAUAAUUGACAACUCCCAGGACACCGCAGUUGAAUGGUGUGGCUGAGAGGCGUAAUCGAACCUUGUAGGAUAUGGUUCGUUCCAUGCUGAGUCGAGCUUCGCUAAUAAUCUCAUUCUGGGGGUAUGCCUUAGAGACUGCCGCCCAUAUCCUUAAUCUAGUCCCUACAAAGAAAGUUUCCAAAACUCGUCAUGAGAUGUGGACUGGUAAAGUACCCAAACUAGACCACAUCAAGAUUUGGGGUUGCGAGGCUUUCGUGAGACGCGAGACUCAUGAUAAGCUCGAACCUCGAAGCGAGAGGUGUAUUUUCAUCGGUUACCCACAGCGAUCCUUUGGUUACCUCUUCUACAGACCUAGUGACAAUGUGGUCUUUGUAGCAAGAAGAGGAGUCUUUCGAGAAAGAGAGUUUAUAAGCCAAGGAGACAGUGGGAGGCAAAUUGAUCUUGAAGAAAUUCAAGAAUCAAGCGGUGAAGGAACUUCAAACUCUAGCCCUCAACUUGAGGAGGAAACUCCUGUUGAGCCAAUUGACAAAUCUGUACCUCUGAGACGUUCCACGAGAGUUAGGAGUGCACCUGAGCAUUACUAUGGAUUCCAUAUUACUGCAGAAGGUGAGACACUUAUUAGUGAUGAGACACUAGUAAGUCAAGAUGACCCUAACAGCUACGAGGAAGCCAUGGCAGGCCCCGAGUCUGCUAAAUGGAAAGAGGCUAUGGAUAGCGAGAUACAAUCCAUGUAUGACAAUCAAGUUUGGAACUUGGUUGAAAAUGUACCAGGUCGUAAGACAGUAGGGUGCAAAUGGGUCUUCAAGAAGAAGACCGACAUGGAUGGUAAAGUACACACUUAUAAGGCUAGACUGGUUGCAAAGGGCUUCUCUCAAAUUCCUGGAGUGGAUUAUGAUGAGACCUUUUCUCCGGUAGCCAAGAUUAAGUCUAUUCGGGUUCUGUUAGCCAUAGCUGCAUUUCAUGACUAUGAAAUAUGGCAGAUGGAUGUCAAAACCGCUUUCCUUAAUGGAAAGUUGGCUGAAGAUGUUUACAUGAGUCAGCCAGAGGGUUUUGUCAGCAACGAGUACCCUAAUAGAGUGUGUAAGCUUGAGAAAUCCAUUUAUGGAUUGAAGCAAGCACCUCGCAGAUGGAAUCUUUGCUUUGAUGAAAAGGUCAAGGAAUUUGGCUUUUCUAGGAGUGAAGAUGAAUCUUGUGUGUAUGUCAAGGCUAGUGGGAGUAUAGUUAGCUUUUUGGUAUUGUAUGUGGAUGACAUACUACUCAUAGGAAACGACAUUCCAACCCUGCAGGAAGUAAAGUCCUGGCUUGGGAAGUGUUUCGCUAUGAAGGACCUUGGUGAAGCUGCCUAUAUUCUAGGGAUAAGAAUCUUGAGAGAUCGGAGUAAAAGACUAAUUGGACUUAGUCAGAGUACCUACUUGGAUAAGGUGCUGAAGAGAUUCAGCAUGCAGGAUUCCAAGAAAGGAGAGUUACCCAUCCAGAGUAACACCAGAUUGAGUAAGACACAAAGCCCUAGCACUGAGGCUGAGAUAGCAGAAAUGAGUCGAACACCUUACGCUUCGGCUGUAGGAUCGAUCAUGUAUGCUAUGACGUGUACUCGACCCGAUGUAGCUUUUGCCUUGAGCAUGGUUAGCAGGUAUCAGGCGAACCCUGGCAAGGCACACUGGACUGCGGUAAAGAAUAUCCUCAAGUACCUACGGAGGACUAAGGACUGGGUCCUUACCCUCGGUGGGAGUGAUGACUUGAGAGUUGUAGGGUAUAGUGAUGCUAGCUUCCAGACUGAUAGGGAUAAUUUCCGCUCUCAGUCGGGCUGGGUCUUUACCCUAAACGGAGGAGCAAUUUCUUGGAAGAGUUCCAAGCAAGAGACAGUGGCAGAUUCUACUUGUGAAUCAGAGUAUAUUGCAGCUAGCGAAGCAGCAAAGGAGGCGAUAUGGCUGAAGAACUUCAUUGGAGACCUUGGAGUUGUACCAGCUAUUAAAGAGCCAAUGGAAAUUUUCUGUGAUAGUGAAAGUGCUGUUGCCUUAGCCAAGGAACCAAGGGAUCAUGGGAGAUCCAGACACAUCGACAGAAAAUACCAUUUCAUUAGACAUCGGAUCGAAGAAGGACUCCUCGUGGCAAAGAGGGUAUCAUCGGAUGAGAACCCAGCAGAUCCCCUCACGAAGGGACUGAGUAGGGUUAAGCAUCUCCAGCAUGCUCGGAGCAUAGGGCUGAAGGAUGAUAUAAGUUUUAGUAGUUAGAUAACCCAGAAAUUUGUAAAGUGUAAUUGACAUUUGAUGAUGAAUAAAAGGUGUUUUAUUUAUGAGUAAAGUGUUGCUAUCUCUUGUCAAUCGUUUACUAUAUUUCUUUUGCAUGUUUUGACUUCCAGAAUAAUUUUGUUUGGUGUAACAUAUUAUUCAAACCUCCACAGUCGGUCAUAUGUCGGAAGUAGGUAUGAAUCAAGACUGUCAUGAUGGGUUGUAGAGGUCUAAGGUGUUGGACAAGGCUACAACAAUCAUGAGUGCUCAUAAGUUCUGAGCAUUGGACUCAACCCACGCUCACUGGAAUCACUUCAUGGAAUUCUAUCUCGAGUGAUCGUGAGACGGUAAUAUCAUAUAAGUCUUCAAACCUAGAGAUAUGAUUUGUUACUUACAAGUUGGUUAUGCAUUGACUGUACGAAACCGCAUUGGUAACUCGAUGUUAUAAAACGUACUUUUGUGUGUAAUUCAAUGAGUGGUAGAACAAACAUAUGAGUCGAAGUUUAUCUGUUCCUUCUUGGAUUAGAAGCUGAUAUCUGGGCCCCUCGAUGAUUUUGUUUUGACCCAUGUACCGGGCCCGGUCAGAACUAAGUUGAUGUGUUCAAUUAAGUUCUAUGUCAAACAAAUCGGAAAUCGGGAAACAAAUGCUGGACAAUAAGCAAGACAAUGUUCCAUGUAUUUGUCCGGCUGAUAUCUAGAACGGAGGAUUAUAUGAUCACUUAUCUUAAAUGGCGUACCAUCAUCUUCUCAGUUCCGAGAGACCUUGAAAGAGCUACGAUUGCCGGUCGGUUCCUGAAGUACUAGAGAUAUAGUUAUUAGACUUAUCCAAGUGGGAGACUGUUGGAUAAGGUGUCUAAGUCCAUAACUAUUUCGGGCUUGUACUUGACCCGACCCGGCAUGGUCCAUUUGGGUUGCAUGGCACCAUGCAAUUGGAUAGACUAAAUGAGAGAAAUAACACUUAGAGAUUAUUAAUAUAUUAUAAGUUCUAAUAUAUUAAUAAUAUUAUUUGAUUAGUUUGAUCAAGAAUUAAUUUAGAAUUAAUUAAGUGAUCAAAAGAUAACUAAUUAAAUAUAUGGGUUGAUUAUGUAAAUCAUCCAUAUCUUGUAUAGUGGACUAAGAGGGUCCAUGGAUUAUCAAGUUGGGUUCCACCCAUAGGAUGCUCCAUGGGAGUUACAAACCCAUGGGACAUGGAAAUGAAGAGUCAUGACACAUUAAGGUUUACAUGGUGUAACCCUAGAUGUGUCAACACUAUAUAAGAGUCCCAUUCGCCACCAAAAUCGUCUACAUAUAUGAAACAAGAGGGCUAGGCCGAUUUUAAGAAGUGUGUGUUCUCUCAAAAGUCUUUCCAAGAGCAUUUGGUGUUGUGUAAAGCAUUUGAGGCAUCACACUUGGGGUGCUAGGCUCACAAGGUUUCAAGGAACAUCAGCAACAACAAGGUAAGUUAUUCUAUCUUUCAUUCAAGUUAAAAAUUGUUCCCCAUGUAUGCUAGAUAGGAAUAUAACCUUGGAAUUCAACUUUGCAUGAUAAUUAGACAAACAUAGAUCCAAGGUUAUUAGGGUUGCAUGUACACUUAGGAAGUGUUAGAAUGCUCAAAACCCAUCAGGAAGCCCCGAGGCUCCCGAAGCCUUGAGAAAAAGAUUCUUUCGGCUCUGAAACACUACUCCAAGUGAAGCUCGAUUUUCUAUAAAACCUGAUGUAAGUGAGCUACGCCUACGCUAUUCUUAAUAUAGCUUUAUUUAAUUAUAGUAACGUUAUUAGGAACUUAUAAUAAGUACUUGGACUAUUAUUGUGAGUUAUAUAAAUGUCAUUAUAAUGUCUUUUUAACCACUCGCGGUACGGGGAAUCUAGUUUAAAGGGCCGUAUAGGUUUGUUGGAUUUCAGAAGUGCUAUAUGCCAAAAUGAUCCUACCCUCCGGUGUUUUAUGCCUGGCCCUGUCUGUACAUAGUGGUUGGAAAAUAUUGUUUAAACGCUUAUAUAAAAAUAAUGAUGCUAAGACUAAUAAUUAGUAGCAAUGAAUAUUAGACGAAAAUCUAGUGGUAAUGAUACUAGGUUUCGUUGAAGGAAAAUAAAUUAAGAAGCGCAACGCUGCUCGAAUAUUGAGUCGUCACUUUAACAAGUGAGUGCAUAGUUACUUUCAUCUUACACAUAGAUAUGAAGUAUUUUAUAUAAACUACAUGCUAUGUGUGCAUAUUAUAUGUAACUUGCUAUCUAUGAUGGAUGAACGAUUUUAUACAAGUUUUAUAUGAUUUAAACUGUAUACGUAUUUAUAUCUACAUAAUAUGUUGGGUAAAACAUGGGUAGAUGAAAUAUGAGUUGGACGAUAAGUUGAGAGGUAAUAUAGACCAUGAGGUAAGGGUGAGAGGUGGACGAUGUGAGAAGCCUUUUUCCAAAUGUUGGGCCCGUCAUCUAGCAGAGUAUGGAUGACAACCACAGACUAUUCAAGACAGUCCAGUGGAACACUAUCAGGCUCACAACCUGUAGGUGUUGUGAAUGAUGUGUUCACCGGUGUACUCUAAAAACCCAUUGACAUGCAUUGUUAGUGGACUCUCGAAAACGAUACGGUCAAUAAACAAGAUAACCCUAGCAGAUGUGCCUAACGGACUCUAGCGGCAGAAGUGCCUAAUAAAGAACCUCAUAACCCCGGUAGAUGCGCCUAAAGCACUAUACCGGUAGAUGCGCCCCAUAAAGAAUGUCACAAUUCUGGCAGUUGCACUUAAGUGAUAAUAUUAGCAGCUGUGCUUGAUAGAUGUGUGAUUAGCAAUGAUGGAUUUUGUGCCUAUUCCUUAGGAUGAUCCUUAGGAAUGAAUGAACAAGAAAUAACUGAUUCUUAGGGUAGAUCCUUAAGAGUAAAUAAGAUAAUGGGGAUGGGUAAUUGGGUUAAUUGUUUGAUGAUUAAACAUAAUAAUUAUAUUAUUGUGGGUUGAAAACCCUAUGUACUCACCCGGUUUCCCAACCUGACCCACUCAGUUUAUUUAAGGAGAUAUAAAUCACUAGUGAUAAUGAAUCUAUGUUCUGUUUAUGCUUAUGUUUCUAUAUUGACGAUGACAUCCCAAAUAUUUUAAAAUGAAUAAAAAUACUUUUCUUUGGAAAUGAUUUGAUAAUGUAUUUAUCAUGUUUUAUUGGGAACAAAUUCCGCAACAUUUUUAUUAAAAGAGGUACUCUGAUUUUUAUAAAGCAUAAACAAAAUCGGUCUAUUCUGGUCGUAAAAAUGGGGAUGUCACAAUUUCUUAUUUGAACCUGAAUACCCACUUGUUCAACAAUGUUUUCAUCCUUACUUGGUAAUUUCACUAAGGAGCUAGUCGAUCAGUUCUACCAAAUUAUCUCAACUCAUCUUUCAUUGGCUUUUACCAAUCUAUGGACCCUUUCAUCUUCAAGUCAUAUGGAGAAGAUUUUGGUUCCCCAUUCACCGUCAACAGCAAGUAACUCACCAAUGGAAUAUAUAUGACUAGAGGUCUUCUUUCUAUAAAAUAUCUUUAAAUGGUAUGGUUUCCUAAGUCUACCUCAUCUAUAACUGUAAUUUUAAACUCCCAUUAUCAACUAUCCUCCCACGAUCUCCAGAUCUACCAUACUAAGAUGUCAUUCUCUGUAACCCCUCAAACACCAUUUUAUCCUUACCCAUGGGUUUCUUCUGUCCUUUAAUAUCUUCUCCAAGAUUUUCAUUAUAAAAAUCAAUUUCUUUAAAUAUGACAUUCCUAUUUUUGUGGACCCUCCCACUCUAAGCAUCCUAUAACCCACCUUAUUCUAAAUCAUACACACACACACAUAUAUACAUAUAUAUAUAUAUAUAUAUAUAUAUAUAUAUAUAUAGAGAGAGAGAGAGAGAGAGANNNNNNNNNNNNNNNNNNNNNNNNNNNNNNNNNNNNNNNNNNNNNNNNNNNNNNNNNNNNNNNNNNNNNNAACAAAAAAAAAAUAUGUUGUUUGAUAAUAUAAAUAUGUUCAAUCUUACAUAACUAUUUUCAUUAUCAUAUAUUGUCAAUAAUUAAAUCGUCUACAAGGUUAUUAUAGAAUUUUUAUUAUUAUUCUCAUUCUGUCUCAAUGUUUUAUUGAGUCGUAUUCUUUAAGAAUGAAAAUGAGUGAAAAAAGAUGCAUGACAACAAAAUCGAAUAGAAUUAUUAAGAAUGCAUGAAAAUGGCGAUAGUUUUGUCAGGUUGAACGUAUUCUCAUUACCAAACAACUUAUUCUCUUAGUAAUUGUCAUAGAAUUGCACUGUCCACACAUCCGCACAAUAGUUGUCCAUCCACAUUAUAACCUAGCCAUAUAUAUAUAUAUAUAUAUAUAUAUGUAUAUAUAUAUAUAUNNNNNNNNNNNNNNNNNNNNNNNNNNNNNNCAAUAUAGGCGAAGCAUACACAUAAACCCAAGCAACAAAAUCACUUUGGACCUCCGUUUUGUCAUCUACAAAUUUACUGUGGAUCGAAAAAUCAACUAGAUGAUGGUUCAUUAGUCAGCCACUUAUAGAUCAUCUAUAAAUAAGGUAGCUAAUUGUUAGCCAGCCAGUUGAUGGUUUGCCAGCUAGCUGAUAUGAUCAACUAGCUAUUAAUCAGCCGGCUCAAGUCAUGUUUAACAAGUGUUUAAAUCAUGUUGAUAAUGCAUAAGUACUCUAUAUUCUAUCAAUAGGCUUACAACUCAAGCUAACAAUGAAUAUGAAAUUAGAAGCUUUAUAUUGUACAAUUGUACUUCAUAUUCUGAACAAGCAAUUAUACAUGUAUAUACCAUUGUAGCAAGUAUCAAAAAUGGAUUUUUACAUCCAACAAAACUAAAUUAUCAUAUGUAAAUUACAGCUUUGACAACAUUUCACAAAGAAUGAUAUACUAACACUAGUAGAAAAACAACCUUUUACGACGCUCAUUGCACGUCGUAAAACGCUCGGACGAUGCGCAAAUGCGCGUCAAGGAAGGCCCUGUCAUAAAGAGAGACGAUGCGUGUUUAUGAUGCGCAUUUAUGACACGCAAUGCGUAUCAUUAAAGCCGUUGUCAAGAAAGGCCAUGUCAUAAAUGAAGAUGACACACAUUUUUGCGUAUCGUAAUUUUUAUUAUUUUUUUAAAAAAAUUAUUUAUAGAUUUACUAAUUUUCAAAUUAAAUUCGAAUUUUCGUGUCAUAAACUUUAGCAACCAUUUACGAUAUGCGUAUACUACGUGCCUUUACGAUACUCUUUUAUGCGUAAUAAAAAAUUAUAGAAACACAUAUAUCCCAAAACAAUCAAUUUCAUCCAAUAACAUCAUGUCAAAAAAAUGUAAUACAUUGAUAUUAAAGUGUACAUUGUUAUUAAGAGGUUUUCCCUAACUAUAUAACCUAAUUAUAAAUGGACACCUUCAUGUUUGAGUAACUCGUCAUUAAGUUGUCUGGAGAAACUCUAAAACCCUUCAUGUAUCCAAACAAUCAUCAUGUCUCUUAGCUUCAGUAUCAACCCUAACUCUUGAUCAAGAACAACACGAAAAUCCUACAUAAUUUCCAAAUCAUAAAUCCAAUUUGUCAAAAAGAAAUACCUAACUAGCAAUCUUAUUUACUUUGAAAAAGAUAAAACAAUAUGCAUAUAGAUAGCUUCUGAUUUUUUACUUCCCUUAAAAUGUUAACAGAGGCUAGGGUAAGAUACCACUUAUCAAAGGGCAAGAAGCAACUAAGCAAGAGAGAUUACAUUGCAUACCAGUUACAAGAAAUGGGCCAUGUGCAUAGAAAAAUUUAUUGUUUCAAAUAAAAAGUGAAGGAUUUGCUCAUUAUUAUGACUAUAAAAGCAAAGAGUUUACCUUUUGAGCCAUGAUGUAAGGUCGUUGGGUACGCCAAUGAGGUAUCACAAGCCUUUGCUCCUUAAAAAGCAUCAUGAACUACAUAGAAGCCAUGUCAAAUUAAGAGUUAAGCCACAUGAAUGUGACAUUUAUCAUGCUUUAACUCAAGCAUAUUAAGAGCUACAUUUAUCAUGCUUUAACCAAGAACUCUAAACACAGAAAGACACUGUGAGCCAAAUUCAUCCAUGUAAUGAUUGGAACUAUCUUUUUCACUUGAACAGUUACCAGAAGCCACAAAACAAUCAAAUCUACAACCUGUGAUGGAAUUUUGACAAUUUGUUAAUUGAACAUGACAUCAAUAUAAAAUUAACCAAAAAAAUUAUAAAAUAAUUAUGUUUCAAUCAAUGAAAUUUAAGUACCUUGGCCAUCUUCAUGCAUGCCAUAAGAUCACCAUGAGGUGCUUCUACAACCUAUAGAAACAAGUAAAGGUAAGCUACACUCAUACACCUAAACAUUCACCUUUUAAUCUCAAUGUAGCCUUCAUCAAUCAAGUAACAUAAAGAACCCAAAAGUUUUAUAAGGCCAAUCAUCCACUCAUAUGUUAAGGCUUUCGGGUUUUAUAACGCUUAUCAUCCAUUUAGAUGUUUUAUAUGGCCUAAUAUCAAGAUAAAGAUAAAUGCAAGAUAUAAUAGAGCACUUUUAUUUAUUUGUAUCUUAUAAUGUUUAUCAUCCAUUCAAAUGUUAAAACAUUCAAAAUCUAAAAACUUAAUACCAUGAUUGAUAUAUAAUUGCAGUAUUGCACUUGUGUCAUAUAUAGAAGAACGGUAAAAUGGUCAUUUAGUCUCGUUUUCGGUUCAACACAGAAACUUUCAGGAUGCCCAUAAAUUUCUGCAUCUUUUUGCGAUCUGAACAGCUGAAGAUGUUUAAUUGAGCUGCUGCUGUUGCUAAAACCUUCCCAUCUGAUUCCAUAUGUUAUUAAAAUACCAAGUCAUGAUUCAUAAAAACAUAAUAUACCCUCGAAUAUGAAAAAUGACAUAAAAACACAAAUAAUAUCAUCAUGAAAUCUUUUUUUGUUUAAAUUGAUUAAGAAUUGUUGUGUUGUUAUUAUUAAUAUUUAUUACCUGUUGUUUUGGGAUUCCAACUAUUGAUGCGACAUAUUGAGCUGAACUUUUUUUUAUCACCAGAAAGUAAGUAUACAUUGAAGAUUUGACUGGUCAAAGAUUGAAUAACGUGUGCAACAUCUUCUCUUAUUUGAUCUUCAACAUAAAUAAGACCUGCAAGAACACCAUCUAUUCCUACAUACACCACUGAUUGGUUUUUGAACUCUUCCAUUUCCACAAAUGGGUUUUCAUUAACUCCAUGCCUGUCAUAUCACAAAUAGCAAGCUAAUUUCAUCAUUUCUUCCUAUUAUUUACACCAUAAUAUUUCCAUUUUUUUCUCAUUAUACCUCCUAACCCAUACCAAUGUUCCAACAGAAAGUAUCUUCUUCCCAACUGAAGCUACUGCACCAGAACCAGGUUCCUCCAUAUAUGUUCCAUCAUCAGCCUGCAUAUCAUUAACAAAAAAAUCAAUCACAUUUAAAAAAAAAAUAGUGAUUUUAUUUCGGUAAGGGCGAAAAAGUAAUUUUCAUAAGGUACCUUUACAUUGGGACAUUUAGCAACCUUAGCAGCUUCCCGAAUAGCUUUUCCAAUUGGAUGUAUUGUAUUAGAUUCAACAGCAGCAACUAACUUUACUGACGUUUUUAUGAAUCAUAUUACCAAGUUGUCCAUGUGUUGAUUCCGACUGUUCUCAUAUUUUUAAGUAAAUUAUCAUCAUCUCACGAGAUGAAUUUACUAAUCUUUCUAUUUUAUCAUUUAUACAAGGUGGACACGCAUUGCUCAUGGUAUCAAAAUCUCAUUCGUUUCCACACCAAAAAACCUCAAAAGACUACCCUCAAUUCCCACAAAUCUUUCAACCAACAUCAAACUAAUCAAAAUCAUAUUACCAAAAGUCAACGGUCUACCUCAAAACUGUGAGGCCACUAUUGACAUCCAACAAGAAGAAACAGCUUAUUUAAAAAAAAGCCCAUGACAACUUGCAACAACCAGUUUUAUAUGAAGUUUCCAAACACCUGGACAACUUGGUAAAAAAGAAAAAUUUUGAAAAAGAGGUUCAAGUACACGUCUAACAGUUGUUGCCUCCUUUGCUAAAAUGGCCAUAUUAAUUAUGAAAGCAAACACUCGACCAAUAAGAGGGGUUUUUGUUUGCAUCCCUGUAAAAUUUUCGAAAACAAAAACUGUUAUUAAUAUAAAUCUUUUAAUGAGUCAUAAUAAUUUAAUAUCUAUAUACAUAACAAAACCCCACUUACCCCAUGGGAACAUCCGUUUGAAAGUUAACAAAAUUUGUGAUCAUCUUGUUUACAUCCAAUAAUGAUGAUCCAUGGUCAGUGUUUGGUGUGUCCAUAAAAUUCUCCAAGGUUACUGAAACAAUCUAUUUUUAAAACAAAACAAGAUUUUGAAUAUCAAUUCAAAUAAAAAAAUAGAAAAAAUUUCAAGAAAGUUGGCACAAGUGGGCCCUGUUUUAUAGUGUUUGUACAUACAUGCUGUUGAAUCAUAUUAUUACUUAUUAUUACGAAAUUGUACAAUAUUGGUGAAGUGAUUGAUCCAGAUGAAUUUACUAAUCUUGUCGGUGGUUUCAUUGAUGGGUUUUGCUCAUGGAGCUCCGGUGAAGAUUCCCCUUUUCUUUUGGUUCUGGAACUGAAAAUACUGAAACACUUCAUCAUCGGGAAGAAACCAAGAACCCUAAACGGUGAAGUGAGAAAACUGGGGUGAAAUUAGGGGAUAUCAGAGAGAUUAAUUAGCAACGGAGACAGGUGGGGAAGAUUAUAGAAUGGUGUGGCUUCUUUGUAUGUUGAGAACAAACAGGUGGAUGAUGCUUCUAGAUUAUUCCGGAAGAUUUCUAGCAUACAAAAGAGCACCAUUACAUGUUUAAUAGGAACUGAGUAUUGAAUUUAUAGUAACUAACAGAUUAAAACAAGUGCAGUUGUAACAAGAAUCAUCAUGAUUUUCCUUCAUACAGCUUCACGAUUAUUGUAGUCAUCUUUCACAGGUGCUAGUAACGAGCUGAUACCUAAAAUUAACAAACUUUAAGACAAACAUAAAGUUGCAAAAUAGAGAUGGAACUGGAACCAGAAAUAUUCACAUUGUUUUCUGUGUCAAUAAAGAGAAAAAAGCAACUAACUUACUAACCUUCAUAAUAUUCAUUCCAUCAUUCAAAAUUUUAAGCUUCUUAUUCAGCAAACCACCAACUUGUUCAAGAUCUUUUGGGCUUCAUCUUUCUAGAAAAGUUCUUCCUGUAAAGAAACAUUUCAUCCUGCCACCCCACCACAUGAACAUUAAUCACUAAAACUAUAUAAAAAUGAAUUUGUUACUUUCUUUCAGAGUGAUCAAAAUUACCUUGCAAUAGAAGAAGUUGACUAGUUAUAUUUAUAUACAUCACAGAUAGCUAAAUCACAGCCCUGUUCAUGACAAGUAACAAAAAAGGGACAUUUGUUUUACAUGUUAAAAAGAAAAACUCAAUAUUUGUGAAUUAUUUAAGGAAAUUAGAAGGGAUUGAAGCAAAUCUCACAUGUUCCCAAUUCUUUAACUCCUAAAGGCAACCUCUCUCCAUUGGAGACCUGAGAAUGAAAGAAGGAAAGAAAUUACAGUCAUUUUGAAAGAAAUUUGAAUACAAGAAAAAACCCUUUUUUAUUUUAUUUUUGAAUAGACAAAAAAGCAUAUGGACACAAUUCUCAAAAAAGAAAUAAAUAAAUAAAUGCACGACUCACUUUGAUGUUGUACAAGGGAUGCAUUUUAUUUAACAUGCAUUCUUCCACCAUCCUCCUUACUUGUUUCAAUCGUUUAAAUGAACCCAUUGAAGCCACUGAGUUUCCCUGUGCAUCAACAAAUAGAAAUAAAUUAGGUUUCUAAGUUUUCUUUUUUAACCCAACAAGUUAUGCUUAUAGGUACCUGAACAAUGAAAUACCAACAUUUAAGGGCAUAUGGGUAUUUCUUGAUAGACUUCUAAGUAAAACAAUUUAUUCCAGUUCCUGUGCAAUAGAAGACACACAUGCAUAGUCUAAUGCCCUGGAAGUAUGUAUAGUGAUAGUCUUCUUCUAUAGAGAGACUGGUAGAAAAUUCAACUACUUGCUCAAAAAAAAAAAGAAGAAAGAAGAAAACAUUCACCUAAAUGAAAAUGAAUAACAAACUAACAUAAGAACUCCCAUAAAAUUCAAACCUUGAUCAGCAUGUAUUCUAAAACAGGAGGAAACAAAUUGUAAAGAUAAAAAGUUGAACCCAAAACAGUGAAAUAUGUAAGUGUUAAAAGUGAAAUAUGUAAGGAUAAAAAGUUGAACCCAAAAAGGUGAAAUAUGUAAAUGCUAAAAUACAGACAUGAAAACAAGUUAGCUUUCUAAUUUAAGAGUAACGAUUUAUUUACACUUGUGACAAAUUUAGGGUUAAUAAAAGCGGACUAAUUGAGACAAAAUAGUAUAUCACUAUGUGUGGCUAAUGAAAUUAAUCUUAAAGAUGACAAAUGUAUUGUAUAUCAACCCAAUAGAAAAAACAUAAUCAACAAAAACUUCAACCAUAUUGUUGAUCUCGACUCAUUCACCCAUGGAAGAGUAAGGUCUACAUUGAUCCCAAUUACAAUUGGUACUAAGCUUAUCCAGAAACAGAAAGCUAGAUAAAACAAGUGAUAUUGCAAAACUGAACAGAAAAGUAAAUUCAAGGAGAAGAGGAAACCUUGCUGGGCUUAGAAGCCCUAAUUUGAAAAACACUGAGAGACCAAAGUCGGUAGCUUUCAAUAGUGAGUCUUCAUCGGUACUCAAGAACAAAAAGCUCUAGGUUUUAAGUGUCAAUGGAACACUCCCAUCAUAUGACAAUCAUCCACCACCGUCACGAUCUGUCGGCAGAGGCCAGCUGCCGCAUGCUCUGAAUGUUGGCCUGUUUGGAGUGGCUAAAGGUAUGGCAUCAUUAAGAAGCAUGGAGAUCAUAUCAGAUGUUGUUGGGCUAUCGACUGCACUCUCUUGUACACAUAGAAGGGCAACAUGAACAACCCUCAAGAAUUGUUGUACAACAAAAGUAUUUCCCAAUGUAGGAUCCUUCAAUUCCAAUGUAUCCCCUUGUUGCCAUAACUCCCAUGUCUAUAUCAUUAAGAGAAUAUUAUCAAUAUAUUUUUUUUACUCUUUACCAGUAAGUAUAUUAUGUAUAAGAUGUUAAAUGGUGAAUUUUGCUAUUCUUACAUAUCCAAUAUGAUUGAAAGUACGGCCAAGAUGACCGAAACUGCUAUUUCUUCUUCCACUGACGAUUUCCAAGAUCAAGACUCCAAAGCGGAAGAUAUCAGACUUGAUAGAGAAAGUCCCUUCCAUUGCAUACUCAGGAGACAUAUAAACACUGAUACAACAUGAUCGAUAUGGCAUUUCAAUAAAUUAACCUUCGAAACACAUAACUUAAUUUUAAUUUUGAUAUUCUAAGUUUGUAACUAAGACAACUUACUAUGUUCCUACCACCCUGUUAGUAAUUUCCGCGGUCUCAUUCUGCUUGAAUAUUCUUGCCAUACCAAAAUCAGAAAUCUUGGUGUUCAUACUCUCAUCAAAAAGAAUGUUGCUAGCUUUUAGAUCUCAAUGAAUAACUCUCUUUCGUGAGUACUUAUGCAUGUAUAACAACCCUUGAACAAUUCCUUCAAUUAUGUCGAAUCGUUUACGCCAAUCCAACUUUGUCUUUCCGUUUUCAUCUGCUAGACAUCAAAAGAAAAGAUUCAUUUAUGAAUAUAACGAUUAAAACCAUUAUAUACAUUUAUGUUACAAACACUUCAUAUCAAAGAGGAAGAAAUCUAAGCUUUUGUUGGGCAUAUAUUCAUAUAUUAACAUCUUUUCUUCACUGUGAAUGCAACACCUAAGAACUCGAACAAGAUUUGUAUGAUGGAGUUUAGCAAUGAGUACUAGUUCAUUCUUGAAUUCCACGAGCCCUUGCGUCGAUGUUCUCGAAAGCCUUUUGAUUGCAAUUUCUCGUCCACCACGUAGUCUUCCCUAUUUUUAUAAUUUCAUGAUAUCUCUUUUUUUCAGAUUAGAGUUUCAAAUGUAAAAACAUAACAAGUGCAUAAAAUUAGUUUAAAGUAACAUAGUCUUGUAAAUAGGUCCAAAACCACCUUGUCUGCACUUAUUCUCAAUUCACUGAGAAAUCAUCAACGAUAGCCAUGAUAGAGGCAAUGCUAAAUAAUAACAAGUCAUUUCCUUUCCCACCAUUGUUUUCAAGCUGAUUUAUAUCCUUGAAGCUUUCAGAAACUAUUAACUCCAGGAAAUAUCAAUCUCUAUUCUGUCUCUCAUAUUCUACAAGCAGAAUCAAUGACUUAACAAAAUAUACAACUAUAUCGUACAAACAAGAGCUAGAAUUUUUAUCAUUGCUAAAUUAAUACCUUUCCUUUUACUCUUUCUCUUCUUUAUAUACCAUAAUAUGCCAAAACGUAUGAUUAACAAAGGAAUGACAACGCCCAUUAGUAUCCAUACCCAAUUCUUGCUCUUUUCUGUUUUGUUACCUGCAUAUUGACUUGUUUAGUGUAACGUCUGGUUUCCUGGUAUGCGCUUAAUUAAGUAUUUAUAUAUUUAUUUUGAAAGAAGGACUCGACGAGUUGGUAGCCCUGACUUGUCUAGUAGAAGGUAGUUUGUAUACGGGGGUUUUAGUGAGCUACUCGACGAGUAGGAUAGGCUAGAUGAAACCCUAAUCUUUAAGAUUUGCACCCUAUUUAAGCAUCAUAUCUGGCCUCCAUUCUAGCCUCGAUCACCUCCAAAACCCUAACUUCGAAACCCUAAUCAUUCAUAAGUAAUAUUGAACUAUUUCUUGCCAUUGUGAGUGUUAUCUGUGCCUUUUGAAGCUUGUGGAAGAAGUAGAAGAGAGAAGACUCAAGAGGGAAGGAGUAGAUCCAGGAACUACACUCUAUUUGCAACAUUUUAUGGUAAUCAAGUUUCCAACUUGAUCAUUCUUCUCUUAGAUCUAUGUGUUUCCAUCAUAUGAAAGUUUUGGUUCAAGAAUUUUGGUCCUUGGAGUUGGGACGUCCCAAGUGGCUCAUACUUCAGAUCUAGGAUCUAGGGAGGAUUCCAUGGCACAAAGGUGCAAACUUUAUGACCAUGGAAGCCCCAUACAAGCAUAUGAGCAGGUUUAUGGGCUUUUUAGCCCUAAAAGACUAUGCAUGGAAGGAAAGCUCGAAACUUUAUGGGUCCAAAAGAUGUUAAAACCAUAGAUCUAGGUUUAUAUGCGUGGAUUUGAUACUCUAUGACCUUUUGGACAAGAUCCAUGUCUUAUAGGAAUUAGGGUUUUGUCUAAACCCUUUUAGAAGAGUUAUGGAUGGGUAAAGUUCGAAACUUUACCCUUAGAAAGGCCUUUCGAGUAGGUAAACAAACUAAGAACCUUGGAUCUAGAAGAUAGAGGCUUAAUCUGUUAAGUAGGCCAAACAGAAAGAAGGACUCAACGAGUCCAUAAGGGAACUCGACAAGUCUGUAAAAGGGCUCGAAGAGUGGAUGAGCCAAGUCGCGACUGAACAGCUCAAUAGAACUCAGCGAGUUGGUCAACCCAGAAUGUUGACUUUGACCGGAGUGUUGACUUUAAAUAGGGGUAAAAUGGUCAUUUUACUCCAUGCCUAUGAAUGAAGAGUUAAUAGUUUUUGAUUAAGUGUUAUUAUGGAAUUUAUAGUCGGAGAGUCGCCGGAGCAGCAGACAGGGAUUCCUCACUCAUGUUUUCAGCAGUCAGUCAUACGAGGUGAGUUCCCUUUCAGUAGGAACGGGUCUAAGGCACCAAGGCCGACCCGUAUAUGUGAUAUGUUAGUAGAUAAGUAUGGAUGGGGCCCGAUCUCGUAGCAGUCUAGUGUGGGCGGGGCCCGGUUCUCAUAGUAUUAUUCGAGUAUAGAUAUGUGAUUGUUCGGUAGAUAUACUUGUUGUCUGUGUGAUACUUGUAUGCAUGUUAGUAGCGGAGUGUGGGCGGGGCCCGAAUCUCUGAGACAGCAGAGUGUGGGCGGGGCCCAUAUGUACUAGUUGCAUGAUAUUUGUAUGAUAUGUGGUAGUUUGGGGAGACUCACUAAGCUUUAUGCUUAUAAUUUUCAAUUUUGGUUUCAGGUACUUCCGGUAGUAAGGGGAAGGACUCGGGUUGAUUGCAUGUCACACACCACAGUUCCAGCCUGGGAUGUUUAGACUCUGAUAUUUUUCUCAUAUGAUUUUGAUAUAGUACUUGUCACGAUGUUUUUUUCAGAUACAUGAUACUGGAUUUUCUUUAUGACUAUGGAUGAUUUAUGGUUUUAUUAAUGAUUUUAAAACGAAAUUUUUGGUAUAUAUUUUUGGGAUGUUUCAUUCAGAUUCUAAAACGAUCAAAAGGUAGCUAAAAAAUCAUUGAAAAUUAACAUUAUUACCUGUAUUUGGAGUGAUUGGAUUUUGGUUGAUCACAUACUUUAAAGUGGAUAUAACUAAAAGUAUGAAUCAUCCUAUAAUUUUACAUUUAGAAAAAAUUAGACUUAUAGGAGAAGAUAUUACAAAAUCAAAAGUUAAAUAUAUUUGUAAAUUUAAAUUAAAAAAUCUUGAUAUUAUAAUAAGAAAAGCAAAUGUAGAAUAUAUUUCUUUAGAUAAAGAAGAAUUUAAAAAAUAAAUACUAGAAAUGAUAGAACAUGGAUUAAUUAGGAAAUCGAAAAGUCCACAUAGAUCAACAACUUUUAUAAUAAGAAAUCAUUCUGAAAUAAAAAGAGGAAAAGCUCGAAUAGUUUAUGUAACGCCCGGGUUUCAGGGCUAAGCAUUUUUGUCAAUGUAAUAGUCUAGGUCAACUCUUGUAACUCUUUUUGAAGUAAUAAAGAUGAAAUAUUUGAGUAUUAUGUGAAUUAUAUGUGUUUAUUUGUUAAUUAUAAAUGUAUAAUUAAUAAAGAAUAAAAAUGAGCGUCAAAAUUAAAGUGUGAGAUAAUCCCGAUAUCUCUAUAUAAAGUUGUAGAAUAUGUCUCAAGGUUUCCGUGCAUAUAAGGAACGCCGAAAUCCGAGUUAUAACGAAGAAGUUAUGACCCGUCGAAGUUUCACGACAGAACCGACACGAUACCGGGAAGCGUGAAUAGUGAAUUUACGAUAGAGCGAGAUUUAGCCUUAGUGAUCUAAACGAAAGUCGUAGAAUAUGUUAAACUAAGAACAUCGAUAAAAAGAACGCCCAAAUCUGACUUCGUAUGAAGAAGUUAUGAGAUUUUAAACAGACCAAUCAUGUCCCGGCUUGUUAAAAAUAUAACUUUAAAAAUAAAGUCAAAAUUAGCCGACGGAGUCUAAACGAAAGUUGUAGAGUACGUCUUCACCUACUCGUGGAUAUAAAGAACGUCAAAAACGGAGUUCGUAUGAACGAGUUACAAAUUAUAAUAGCAUAUUUACGUAUUAAAAUAAAGUAUAAAUCAUGUAUACGUACACAUAUAUAUACAUAUGUAUAUAUCAUUAGAAAGGUAUCGACGAUGCGGUCAUUAUAAGACUAAUGUUGAGUUCUUUCGACAUUAGUUUAGUACAAAUAUCAUUAAAUCCAUUUAUAAUAGUAUUAUAGAGGGGUGUUUAGUUGUUUAUAUAACUAAAAGGUCAUUAAGUAAUUAUGGAGGGUAGUUUUUGAAAAUUCAAUUAGUAUAAAUAAGAGCCUUGGGCUCUCAUAUUUCUUGCACCAUUCUCUUGAUUCAAGAGUCUUUCUCUCCUUAUCCCCCGAGCAUUUCGGUCCCUCGUGAUUCGACUUCUCUUUCUGUAGCUUAGUAUAGUAAGGUGAGCGCUGAAGCGCUGCACGAAUCUUUCUUAGAAAGAUUCAGCGACGAAGUUCUGCCCCUGCAGAGCCCGACUCCUAGCUAAAACCCCCUUGUAAGUAAGUUAUGCUUACCUUAUUUUAAUAUAGCUUAUAUUUAAAAUUAGUAUUGUUAUUAUGAACUUAUAAUAAAUAUUUGAGCUAUUAUUAUAACUUAUAUAAGUGUCGUUAUAAUAUUUUUUUUAACUACUCGCGGUACGGGGAAUCUGGUUUAAAGGGCCGCAUAGGGUUGUUGGAUUUCAGAAGUGCUAUAUGCCAAAAUGGUCCUGCCCUCCGGUGUUUUAUGUCUGGCCCCUGUCUGUACAUAGUGGUUGGAAAAUAUUGUUUAACGCUUAUAUAAUAAUAAUAAUACUAAGACUAAUAGUUGGUCACGGUAAAUAUUAGACUAAAAUUUAGCGAUAAUAAUGCUAGGUUUCGUCGAAGGAAAAUAGAAUCGUUAGAAGCAAGCGCUGCCCGAUUUUGGAAUCAUCACCUUAACAAGUGAGUGCAUAGUUACUUUCAACUUACACAUAGAUAUGAAGUAUUUUAUAUAAAUUACGUGCUAUGUGUGCAUAUUAUCUGAAUACUUGCUAUCUAUGCUAGAUGAACGUUGUUAUACAUGUUUUCAAUGAUUUAAACUGUAUAUGUAUUUUAUAUCUACGAAAAUGUUGGGGUAAAACAUGGGUAGAUGCAAUAGGUGAUGUGUGAUAAAAUGAUGAGAGGCCUCGAUGUUGAUGUUGUUGAUUCUGUCAUCUAGCGGAGUAUGGAUGACGACCACGGACUCUUCUAGACAGUCCAGUGGAACACUAGCAGGCUCGCAACCUGUAGGUGUUUGUGAACGAUAUGUUCACCGGUGUACUCCAUCCCCCACAUGGUUGCCUUUAGGACAUUUAUUGCUGAGGAAUCCCCUUAGCAGUAGUGUCCGUCCCGAUGAUGAUCCUUAGGCUAGGUCCCUUAUGAUAGGUGUUUAGGGACGUAAAGUGAGGAUAACGGGAACGGGUAAUCGGGUUAUUGUUGAUCGAUGAAAUUAAUAAACUUAUUUAUUGUGGGUUGAAAACCCUAUGUGCUCACCAGGCUCCCAAGCCUGACCCACUCAGUUUUAUGUAUUACAGGUAGUGGCGCAUGAGCAUAGGUGUGAUGUUUUGGACGAGGGAUUACGGAUAUAGGCCUGUAGAUAUGAAAUAAUGUAGUAAGGCUUAUAUUGUACUGUUUAUGCUUUUGAUCUGUACGAACAUGACAUCCCGAGUCUUUUAAUGAAAUACAUUUCUAUGGAAAUGCUUUUGAUAAAUCUUUAUCAUAUUUUUGUUUUGGGACAAAUUCCGCAACACUUUCAUUUAAAAUGUAACUCUGAUUUUUAAACAAAGCAUAAACAAACCGGUCUUUUCUGGCCGUGAUUUUGGGGAUGUCACAGUUGGUAUCAGAGCAUUAGUUUAAGCGAACUAGGAAUUUGUAGGAUUUCUAGACUUAAACUUAGAAUGCUAAGCGAUGAUUGUGAGGUGUGAGCACUAGCUUAUUUUAGGAAUUGUGCCUAAAAUGCUUUUAUGUGCUAAAUGCUUUGUGCAUAAUAUGCUGUUAAUUGUUCGGAUCUAUGGUCUGUUGCCGACCGGAUCUGGAAACCUUAUGUGUUUAGGAUUCUAAACGUACGACUACGAUAUUAGAACUAGCAUGUAAACGUUUCGNNNNNNNNNNNNNNNNNNNNNNNNNNNNNNNNNNNNNNNNNNNNNNNNNNNNNNNNNNNNNNNNNNNNNNNNNNNNNNNNNNNNNNNNNNNNNNNNNNNNNNNNNNNNNNNNNNNNNNNNNNNNNNNNNNNNNNNNNNNNNNNNNNNNNNNNNNNNNNNNNNNNNNNNNNNNNNNNNNNNNNNNNNNNNNNNNNNNNNNNNNNNNNNNNNNNNNNNNNNNNNNNNNNNNNNNNNNNNNNNNNNNNNNNNNNNNNNNNNNNNNNNNNNNNNNNNNNNNNNNNNNNNNNNNNNNNNNNNNNNNNNNNNNNNNNNNNNNNNNNNNNNNNNNNNNNNNNNNNNNNNNNNNNNNNNNNNNNNNNNNNNNNNNNNNNNNNNNNNNNNNNNNNNNNNNNNNNNNNNNNNNNNNNNNNNNNNNNNNNNNNNNNNNNNNNNNNNNNNNNNNNNNNNNNNNNNNNNNNNNNNNNNNNNNNNNNNNNNNNNNNNNNNNNNNNNNNNNNNNNNNNNNNNNNNNNNNNNNNNNNNNNNNNNNNNNNNNNNNNNNNNNNNNNNNNNNNNNNNNNNNNNNNNNNNNNNNNNNNNNNNNNNNNNNNNNNNNNNNNNNNNNNNNNNNNNNNNNNNNNNNNNNNNNNNNNNNNNNNNNNNNNNNNNNNNNNNNNNNNNNNNNNNNNNNNNNNNNNNNNNNNNNNNNNNNNNNNNNNNNNNNNNNNNNNNNNNNNNNNNNNNNNNNNNNNNNNNNNNNNNNNNNNNNNNNNNNNNNNNNNNNNNNNNNNNNNNNNNNNNNNNNNNNNNNNNNNNNNNNNNNNNNNNNNNNNNNNNNNNNNNNNNNNNNNNNNNNNNNNNNNNNNNNNNNNNNNNNNNNNNNNNNNNNNNNNNNNNNNNNNNNNNNNNNNNNNNNNNNNNNNNNNNNNNNNNNNNNNNNNNNNNNNNNNNNNNNNNNNNNNNNNNNNNNNNNNNNNNNNNNNNNNNNNNNNNNNNNNNNNNNNNNNNNNNNNNNNNNNNNNNNNNNNNNNNNNNNNNNNNNNNNNNNNNNNNNNNNNNNNNNNNNNNNNNNNNNNNNNNNNNNNNNNNNNNNNNNNNNNNNNNNNNNNNNNNNNNNNNNNNNNNNNNNNNNNNNNNNNNNNNNNNNNNNNNNNNNNNNNNNNNNNNNNNNNNNNNNNNNNNNNNNNNNNNNNNNNNNNNNNNNNNNNNNNNNNNNNNNNNNNNNNNNNNNNNNNNNNNNNNNNNNNNNNNNNNNNNNNNNNNNNNNNNNNNNNNNNNNNNNNNNNNNNNNNNNNNNNNNNNNNNNNNNNNNNNNNNNNNNNNNNNNNNNNNNNNNNNNNNNNNNNNNNNNNNNNNNNNNNNNNNNNNNNNNNNNNNNNNNNNNNNNNNNNNNNNNNNNNNNNNNNNNNNNNNNNNNNNNNNNNNNNNNNNNNNNNNNNNNNNNNNNNNNNNNNNNNNNNNNNNNNNNNNNNNNNNNNNNNNNNNNNNNNNNNNNNNNNNNNNNNNNNNNNNNNNNNNNNNNNNNNNNNNNNNNNNNNNNNNNNNNNNNNNNNNNNNNNNNNNNNNNNNNNNNNNNNNNNNNNNNNNNNNNNNNNNNNNNNNNNNNNNNNNNNNNNNNNNNNNNNNNNNNNNNNNNNNNNNNNNNNNNNNNNNNNNNNNNNNNNNNNNNNNNNNNNNNNNNNNNNNNNNNNNNNNNNNNNNNNNNNNNUAUAUAUAUAUAUUCAAAAAAUUUAGACUUCCCAGAAAAAUUUGAAAAUCUAAAAUAGAUACAAGCUUUUUUGGGCUUGGUUAAUUAUGCACGAAAAUUUAUUCCUAAUCUUUCAAAAGUUAGUUGGUCCAUUAUAUAGUAAAACAACAACUAAAAUGGACAAAGACAUUUCAGCCAAGACGAUAUUAAAUUAGUUAAAGUAAUUAAAGAAGCAGUUAAAAAUAUUAAAUCAUUAGAAUUGCCAUUAGUCACUGAUUACAUAAUAAUAGAAGUUGAUGGAUGCAAAAAAGGAUGGGCAACCGUUAUCCUUUGUAAAUCUGAUAAAUAUAGCCCAAAGGAUACAAAAAAGAUAUGCUCAUAUGCUAGUGGAAGUUUUAAUAAGAUAGGAAUGAAUUGGACUUCUAUAGACUAUGAGAUACAAGCUUUAAUAAAUGCUUUAGAAAAAUUUAAAUUAUUCUUACAUAAAGAAUUUAUAGUUAUAACAGAUUGUGAAGUUAUAGUUCAUUUUAUUAAAAAUGAUCAAAGUAAGAAAAUAAAUAGGACAUGGUUGAUAAAUUUAAAAAAUACAAUACUAGGAAGUGGAUAUAAAAUAAAAUUCCAACACAUAAAGGGAGAAAAUAAUGGAAUAGCUGAUACGCUAUCCAGAAAAGAAAUAUUAACAGAUUAUUUUCUAUAGAUGAGUAGUCAAAACAAAGGAAAGUACAUAUUAAUACAGCCUACACAACAAAAUAGGAGUUCCUCUUCCGUGAGCAUUUCUUCAGAAGAAGAAAGAAAUACAACAUCAACAGAAAAAUUGAUGGAUUCAGCAAUAAAAAUUGAAUAUCAACACAAACCCAUACAACAACACUCAAUUCCUUAUAUGGGAAUAGCGAGUACUACACAUAAUCAUAACCUCUUGCAAGGAUCUAGACCACAAAUGGAUAUUUCUCAAAAUAUUCAACAUUCAUAUUGUUGGACAGGAUCUUCAAAAAACAUACAAUAUACACAGAACAGAGAAGUUAUUAUAGCAUUUGGUAAUUGCACUUUACCAAUUUGCUUUGAUGAGCGCAAAAAGUUUAGGCACAUGAUAGGAGUAAACUUGAUAGAAGACCAACAAUAUUUGCUAAAUAACUUAUGACAUAUUCAGACAGUUCCAUAGGCUUCAUCAUUUAAAGUUCAAAUUCUUAAUGCUUUAAGUUUUUAUUUUCAUAAACAGUCACCAAUGACUCCUGAGAAACAAACAAAAAAAUUCACACAAUAUGUUAUGAUCAGGGGCACAAAAGUUGGAAUUUUCAAUAAUUGGGCAACAGUUUUAAAAUAUAUAUAGUGUCAAAAUCCACUUUACAAGGGACGUUGUAGCUUCCAAGAAGCUAUGAAUAUAGCUCGAGAACAUUUUGGAUUAAACAACUUAUAAAUAAAAUAGAAAAUCACUUAUUACAAUUUGAGCCUAAAAUAAAUAUGUUAGAAUUUUUUUACAGAUAGUUAAAACAAUAGUUGAAAGUUAAAACUGGAAAACUCUAAAGAAUAUAUUAAAGCUUUAGAAGUCGUUAAAAAAUAUGAACCAGAAAAUAAUAACGAAGAAGUUACAGGAUUUACUAGAUAUUCGGGCACAUGAAAAAUGAUAAAACAUAUCCUAUAGACUGUGAGAUACAAGCUUUAAUAAAUGUUUUAGAAAAAUUUAAAAUAUUCUUACAUAAAGAACUUACAGUUAGAACAUAUUGUGAAGCUAUAGCCUGUUUUAUUAAAAAUGAUCAAAGUAAGAAAAUAGAUAGGACAUGGUGGAUAAAUUUACAAAAUAUAAUAUAAGGAAGUGGAUAUAAAAUAAAUUUUGAACACAUAAAUGGAGAAAAUAAUGGAAUAGCUGAUAUGCUAUUCAGAAAUAUUAACAAAUUAUUUUCUAUAGAUGGCUAGUCAAAACAAAGGAAAUAACAAAUUAGUACAACAUACACAACAAAAGAGGAGUUCCUCUUCCAUGUGCAUUUCUUCAAAAGAAAUACAUCAACAUAAAAAUUGAUCGAUUCAGAAGUAAAAACAAAAUAUCCACACAAACCCAUACAAAAGCACUAAUUCUUUAUACGGGAAUAGCGAGUACUACACAUAAUCAUAACCUCUUGCAAGGAUUUAGACCGCAAAUGGACAUUUCCCAAAAUAUUCAACAUUCAUAUUAUUGGACAGGAUCUUCAAAAAAUAUACAAUAUACACAUAACAGAGAAGCUGCUAUAGCAUUUGGUAAUUGCACCUUACCAAUUUGCUUUGAUGAACGCAAAAAGUUUAGGCCCACGAUAGAAGUAAACUCGACAAAAGACCAACAUUGUUUGCUAGAUAACUUAUGGCAUAUUCAGACAGUUCCACAUGCUUCAUCAUUAAAAUUCAAAUUCUUAAUACUUUAAGUUUUUUAUUUUCAUAAACAGUCACCAAUGACCCCUGAGAAACAAACGAAAAAAAUUCACAUCCUAUGUUAUCAUCGAGGGCACAAAAGUUGGAAUUUUUAAUAAUUUGGUAACAAUCUUAAAAUAUAUACAAUGUGAAAAUCCCCUUUAUAAGGGAUGUUGUAGCUGCUAGGAAGCUAUGAAUAUGGCUCGAGAACAUUUUGGGUUAAAAGAUCACAUUUGUGAAAAAUUCUUUUGUCGUAUAGAAUUAUUGAUUCAUGCUUUUAAGAUUGUGUCGUCGUUUCACACUUUAUGUAAUAAUCAUGUUAUUUAGGAUAAAAUAUUAAGUCCGAUAUUGUGUUAGUAUGAGAGUGUAAUUGUUACGCUACCCUUUGCAUAUAUAAAGGGUUAGAACCUAUUGUAAAAUCAUCGAGAAUUCAUAAUAAAAAUAUUGUUAUCAAAUUUCCUCAUGUCUCUCUAAACAAUCUCUUUCUGAUUUUCUUCGCCUAUCUCUUACAUUCCAAGUUCCUUUCAUAUACUUAUCCCUCAUAAAAAAAUAAAUAAUAAUAAAAUAAAUUAAUUAAUUAAUUUAAAAUAAAAACCUCAAAAGUUGCUUUUGCACAUAGCUUCUCCUAGCUUUGUAGGUGUACUCUUCUUUAAUAUUUAAAUCUUGUUCAUAUUUUGUUUAUGGUUUAACGGUAGACCCGGAAAAAACCCAUAUNGAUUUUUCAGUAAAAACCUCCAAUGUCGCCGCUAAUACCUUUGUACAUCCUACAAAAUUAAAUUAUCAUAUACAAAUUACAAUAGAAAUAGUAUUUUACAAAGAAUGAUAUACUAUUCGUACAAGAGUAGCUACACUCAUAAACUAUCGACCCUCUACAACAGUGAUUGUCAUAUUGUUUAUAGAGCAAUCUUUUGCUUUAUUUUCAUCCGAAGUUGACUUCAACUCUGAUUCCAUUCUGGCAGUGAUGAUGAAUGCUGGCCUAUUUGGAGUGGCUAACGGUAUGGCAUCAUUAAGAAGCAUGGAGAUCAUAUCAGAUGUUGUUGGCCUAUCGACUGCACUCUCUUGUACACAUAGAAGGGCAACAUGAACAGCCCUCAAGAAUUGUUGUACAACAAAAGUAUUUCCCAAUGUAGGAUCCUUCAAUUCCAAUGUAUCCCCUUGUUGCCAUAACUCCCAUGCCUAAAUCAUUAGAAGAUGAUUAUUAACAUAAUGUCUUUUUUUUACUCUUUACCAACAAGUAUAAGAUGUUAAAUGGUGAAAUUGACUACACUUACAUAUCCAAUAAGAUUGAAAGUCCGGUCAAGAUAAACAAAGCUGCUAUUUCUUCUUCCACUGACGAUUUCCAAGAUCAAGACUCCAAAGCUGAAGAUAUCAGACUUGAUAGAGAAAGUCCCUUCCAUUGCAUACUCAGGAGAUAUAUAGCCACUGAUACAACACGAUUGAUACAACAUUUCAAUGUAUUGAUCAUGAAAGCAUAUAAUUCAAUGGUAAUUUUGAUAUUGUAAGUUUGUAACUAAGACAACUUACUAUGUUGCAACCACCCUGUUAGUGAUUGCCUCGGUCUCAUUCUGCUUGAAUAUCCUUACCAUACCAAAAUCAGAAAUCUUGGGGUUCAUACUUUCAUCUAAAAGAAUGUUGCUAGCUUUUAGAUCUCGAUGAAUAACUCUCAUUCGUGAGUACUUAUGCAGGUAUAACAACGCUUGAGCAAUUCCUUCAAUUAUGUCGAAUCGUUUAUGCCAAUCCAACUCUGCCUUUCUAGUUUCAUCUACAAGACAAUGAAAGGAAAGAGUCUAAUGAAUAGAAUAUCACAAGUAAAACCGUUGUAUAGACUUAUGUUAAAAAUGAUAAGUACCAAAGAGAAAGAAAUCUAAGCUUUUGUUAGGCAUAUAUUCGUAUAUUAACAUCUUUUCUUCACCAUGAAUGCAACAACCAAGAACCCGAACAAGAUUUGUAUGCUGGAGUUUAGCAAUGAGUACUAGUUCAUUCUUGAAUUCCACAAGCCCUUGCCCUGAUGUUCUUGAAAGCCUUUUGAUUGCAAUUUCUCGUCCAUCACUUAGUCUUCCCUGUUUUUUAUAAUUUCAUGAUAUCUCUUUUUGUUAGAUUAGAGGUACAAAUGCAAAAACAUAACACAUGCAUAAAAUUAGUUUAAAGUAACAUAACCUUGUAAACAGGUCCAAAACCACCUUGUCCGAGCUUAUUCUCAACUGAGAAAUCAUCGGUGGCAGCCAUGAUAGAGGCAAUGCUAAAUAAAAACAAGUCAUUUCCUUUCCCACCAUUGUUUUCAAGCUGAUGUAUAUCCUUGAAGCUUUCAGAAGCUGUCAACUCCAGGAAAUACUCAUCUCUCUUUCGUUUCUCAUUUUCUAUGAUCAGUAUCAAUGAAUUAACAAAAUAGGCAACUAUAUCGUACAAACAGAAGCUAGAAUUAUCAUCAUUGCUAAUUUUAUACCUUUCUAUUUACGCUUUCUCUUCUUUAUAUACCAUAAAAUGCCAAAACAUAGGAAAAAGAGAGGAAUGACAACGCCAAUUAGUAUCCAUACCCAAUUCUUGCUCUUUUCUGUUUUGUUACCUGCAUAUUGACUUGUUUAGAUUCUAAAAUGAUCAAAAGGCAGCUAAAAAAUCAUUGGAAAUUAACAUUAUCACCUGUAUUUGGAGUGAUUGGAUUUUGGUUGAUCACAUAGUUUAAAGUAGAGUUAUCACGAGGAUUAACCAAAAAGUUAUUGCUUCCAGUCCAAAUAACACAGCCAGUUCCAUUAAUGUUACUACUAUUAAACCCUACACAAGUGCAAUCAUUCCAACACUUAACAAAACAAUCACUAAUACUUAAACUCGAGUUGUCAUCAAUAGCACUUCUUGUCAUAUCCUGAGCAAAAUGUCCAUACUUUUCACUAAACCUAUCACUCUCUCUUCUACACUGAGGCAAACUCCACUCUACACAACCAUUACCAGAAUCAUACCCAUAACAGAAGCGUUAAUAUCAUUUAAAUUUGUCAUUUGACACUUUAAAGUUAAAAAAAGUCUGAAAUUUCUUGAAUUAAACAAUUAGCAAAUAGUAUAUGACUAAUUUCCAAUCAAGAACAAUUCCACCAAACAUACAAACACCUAUGUAGAGAAAACGUUAUAAUUGCAUUCUCAAGAAAAUAACAUUAGAAUUGCCAACUUCCCAUAAGUAUCUCUAUAGAAAUUGUGAGUUUGUGAUUUAUUCUAGUCAUCCUAACAAAAGUGAGAAAUUUAUAUAUGCCCCAAUCAAGAAAAGAAUAGUUAGAAGUGUAAUUUAAUUUCUUAUUUUGUUUCCUUUAACAAAGGAAGAGUCUAGACUUUCUACCAAGGUUAUCAAAAUCAUAAUUUUUAUUUUACCUAGGAUAUCCUAGGUAUAAUAAACAAGUCGGAUUGUAUACGGAUCAUAUCUUAUCUGGGGUAAAAUUGCAAGUAAGAUCAUAGAAUCGGGAUUGGAUCCCACUUCCCUUGAUUUUUUAUUUUCUUUUUAAAAGAAAAAAAAAUCAAAAACCAUCAAAAAAAUGAAAAAAGAGAUUUUACUACAUUACAACUUUUACUCUUUAGGGGUUCCAUUUACCUUUUUUUUUGUUGCGAAUAAUAUUUUGAAGUUUUUAUAUGUUUUGAAUGGAAAACUUAAUGUUGGAGAUAUUUUUCAUGUUUUGAAUUUAUAAUUAAGUUAAAAUUGUGUUUUUUAUUGGAUCUUAAGAUCCGGUUCCCAAUCCUGAUCUUGUAUAUAAACCCAAAAACAAUCAUACAUAAAAUCCCGAUCUUGACAACUUUGAUUUCUAUAUCAUCAUUUAACAUAUAAUGUAGUGUCAUCUCUUUAAAUGUACCAUAUACCUCACAUGUUCUCAGGUCAACCAAAUGAAACGGGGAGUUGAUAACAUGCACAAAAGUAAAAAUUACUUUCGCUUCAGAUAUUUUUAACAAACCCUUACAGUUAAAUCAAGGGUUAUUGUUGUAAAAACCCUCAAAUUUACACAAAAUAGUUGGUUAUGCCCAAAGUACAAAUUUAUGUUCAUUAAUGCCUAACAUUUGAGCAAAAUUUACCACUUAUGGCUUUUUAUCAGGUUAACACCAGGUAGCCGGUCAUCUACUCACUUGAUCCUUCUUAACAAAAUCUUUGUCGCUGCUCACCACCACCGACGCCAGGCGUCGUCACCACCACCACCUUCAGGCUUGUCUCCGGCAACAUCCCCUCCCAUCUCCAACGGUGUCUUCAACACCCUCUACGACUUCACCAUUACAAUCACCCAAAAAUCGCAGCUUUAUUUUCUUGUGUAACCCUAGCUACAUGCUUUCACGACCUCCAAUGGUCAUCAUCUCCAACUCCCUUUCUGCCUUCACCACCAACCCCCCAAAUAAAACCCUAGCAUCCUACAUCAGAUGAACCCGUAUCCACCUCCAACAGACGAAAUCCUAGCUGCCUCCAUCGGAAGAACUCUGAUUCGUUUAGUGCUUCUCACUCUUUCCUCUCCAACAGAGACANNNNNNNNNNNNNNNNNNNNNNNNNNNNNUUAGCAACAUUUGGCCCAUCCCAGAGUAAAACUUUUGUGUUUCUUUCUCCCUCACGCAGGUAUGUAACAACAAUAGAUUUCAAUCGCACCCUUAUCCCCUUCUCUUUCUGAUUCGAAUCGCACCAUACCCUCUUCGAUUUAACUUGGAGGGGCUAUGGCGAUGACUGGAAGUCUUUUUGUGUGUGAACAGGGUAGGGAGAAGACAAUGGUAGCUGAAAUGUCGAUUAUUGAAGGUUUGUGGAGGUUGGUGGAAAUUGGUUGUAAUGGAGGGUAAUGGUGGUUUUAAGGUAUUUGUGUGGUGGCUUAUGGUAUUAGGUUAUCAAUUUCAGGCAUGUAUGAUAAUGGAUAAGCAACAGCAGGAGAAGACGAUGAAAAAUAGAAGUGGUUUAGGGUUUGCUUUGAUCCAAAGUCUCGUUUCCAAAAUCUUGUUUGAUUUCUGAAUUGAGUUUGAAUUCUUCUUGUUUGAGUUCUGAAUUGUGUUUGAGUUUUGAAUUGUUGAAUUCUUCUUGUUUUAGUUCUGAAUUGUGCUUGAGUUUUGAAUUGUCUUUAGUUCUGAAAAUCAUUUCCUUUUUAAGUUGUUCUAAAAAUCAUCUUUGAGUUUUGAAUCCUUGCUUGAAUGUGUGUAUGUUUGUGUUUCAGUAUGUAUGCUUGAAUGGAGAAGAUGAUGGUGGUGUGAUGAUGGGUUUAUGUGAUGGAAGGAGAAGGGUGGCGUUGGAUGGUGGUGGAUGAUGGAUGGUAGUGGUGGUGAUGGUGAAUGAUGGACAAUAAUGGUGGUGGUGGUUUGUGUGUGGCUGAUGGUAGUGUUGGUGGAAAAAGGUGGUAGUGGUGGAAAAGUGUAGUGGUGGAGGUGAUAAGUAAAUAUAAGAGUUUUUAUGACAAAGGUGACCGGCACAUAAGGUAAAAUCAGGCUAAGGGGUAAAAGUGAACAAAAUUUCCGGUAGUAAAGGUAUCUGUGGCAAAAAAAGACGGCUUUGGGCAUAACCGGUUUUUUUGUGUAAAAUUAGAGGUUUUUAUGACAAAAACCCUUAAAUCAAACCUUAAUCAGUUUAUUGCUUAAACCUUACCUAAAAUAAAAAGUUGUUUGAAAUUUGCGGAAGCAUAACCCACUAAUUACGAGAGAAAUCGGUAGAAAUAGAGCGAUACAUACACAGCCAUGAUUAAAGAAUCAAACUGCUGGAUCAUUUUUGUCUAAGUUUCUUCUACGAUUUCUCUCCUAGUUAUUUGAUAUUGAUCUGGCCGAUUGCGCAACAAAAGCAGUACACACAAAUUAUCAGCAAAAUACACAGAAGUAUUACCUCUUCCAGAGUUGGACUCCUUCGGUUGCAGGCUUGCUGCUAACAAAUACGAAGCAGCCUACGAACUGCAAUGCAGAGAGAGAGAGAGAGAGAGAGAGAGAGAGAGAGAGAGANAAUCGUCGAGAGAGAGAGAGAGAGAGAGAGAGAGAGAGAGAGAGAGAGAGAGAGAGUUUUUCUUUAAUGUAGCUUCUUUUAUCCUAGGGUAACGACAACCAGAACUCAUAAGCCAACAAAUAUAGGAGAGUGACAACUAUACACUGCAUGGGGACACAGAUAGUGUUUGAUCUUCGGACCCUUAUGAAAUCAGCAGAGUCCAGCAUGUUCAAUGAUCCCAAGCUCCUUCAUAUGCAUAGCUUGAGGCAAUUGAGAUUGAGACUGAUGAAUUUGCGAAUGAAGUUCCCAGUGGGAGUACUAAUCCUAGCUCCAUUAAUGUACCCGAGAAAAGCAAAAGCCAACGAGAGUGCAAAGGCACCGAUAAUCUUCAUAGGUGGGUCUACUCUCAAAAAAAAAGGGGUUAUAUGAUACCACUUAAUGUGGUCGAGUUCGAUAUCUCCUUUUUACACCAAUGUGGCACCAUCCAUCCUUUUUACACGUAAAAAGGUUCAAAUAUUUGAAGAAAAUAUAAAAAAGGGAAUAGAAACUUGUAGUGAUGAACAAUUAUAAAAUCUCUUUUCUAGCUAAAACGAAGUCAAAUAUUCUCCAACCUUAUUGAUAUUAACAAAAGUGAUACGUAAUUUCUCUUUCC
This 51884-nucleotide long non-coding RNA is filed under the name Lactuca sativa (garden lettuce). RNAcentral's name for it is "long non-coding RNA (LSAT_LNC006694)". The record is from RNAcentral. Lineage: Eukaryota; Viridiplantae; Streptophyta; Magnoliopsida; Asterales; Asteraceae.